Molecule: long non-coding RNA, 65344 nt
Filed under: Medicago truncatula (barrel medic)
Lineage: Eukaryota; Viridiplantae; Streptophyta; Magnoliopsida; Fabales; Fabaceae
Description: long non-coding RNA (MTRU_LNC003836)
Rfam family: MIR2680 microRNA precursor family (bases 37425-37592)
Source: RNAcentral
AUUAGUAUCAAUUUCGAUUCCAAUCUCCAAUUCAUUGCAAAUAAAUCUACAGUUUGUUGGUUGAUCACCAAAGAACGGCCAACACAGCAUUGGCACUCCAGCGCAUAUGCUUUCAGUGGUUGAGUUCCAUCCGCAAUGAGUCAAGAAUCCACCAAUUGAAGGGUGAUUUAACACUUUCUCUUGUGAACACCAGCUUGCUAUAAGGCUUCUAUCUGAAAUUUCAUUUGCAAACUCUGAAGACAAAACCACUGAGCCACCAAUUACAAGAUCAGGCCUAAUGAUCCACAAAAAGGGUUUCUUGCUAUUGGCCAAACCCCAAGCAAACUCUAAAAAUUUCUCCGGAGACAUAAUUGUGAUGCUUCCAAAAUUCACAUAAACAACAGAAGCCGGUUCUUUUGAUUCCAGCCAUUCGAGACAUUUAGUAUCCUCUUUCCAAAGAUUUGAAUCUAAAGUUGCAAACUGAUUUUGUGGACUUUGAUUUACAAAUGAAGUUAAAGGGCCAAUAGUGUAUAGAGAAGGAAACAUAAUAUCAAGAGCAUUCAGAACAUUACUCUCAAGUUCAUUAGAAGUAUUGAGAACAAUAGAAGAGGCUCUAUGAAAUGUUUCUGCUGCUUCAAUAAUAAAUUCUAUCCUCAAAUCGUUAGGAUCUGUUGUCCUUAUAAAAUCAGGAAGAUCUUUCAGUCUAAAGUUUCUCAAACCUGGAAUCCAGUCUACCUUAGUGUCCAAAUAUCCAUUUGUUAGAUAACUCUCAUCUGCAUAUCAUAAUUACAAAAGUUAAUGUCUUGAAAAACUUGGCGCCCUUGCACACACAUAAAUAUAUAUUAAUGUUUUAAAUCACCAUUAGAACCAAAUGCUGCUGUGAGCCUUUUCUCAAAAUCUUGACUCACACACACACACACACUUCUCUUAGGGAGAGAUAAUAGAACUUGUUACCUUUGAGUGGUACGAGACCUUUCUCAAUCAAUGUACGAAAGUGUAAAACAGACAUGAAAGAACAAGCACUAAAUGGGACAAGGAGAACAAUUGGAAGUGCAAAUUCUUCAGCAACUCUUAUGGUAAAUGACAAGAGACAAUCAGAAACUAAGCAAGUAACAGGAGGCACAAGACCAGAUUUCGCAGAGUCAUCAAGUCUAGCUAGAAGUUCGCGAAAAGGGUAAAUAAAUUUCUUUCUAAUCGAUUCACGAAUAGAUUUCAAGUCUGGAUUAACAUCACCAUCACCAUCCAUUGGAGUUAAACCAUCUGGUAGAGUCUCAAAGUUAAAAUCAGUGAAACCAUCAAAGGCAUUUUCACCUCUUGAUUUGAGCAAGCGUUUGUGAUUGUAUUCGGUGUUAACAAAGGUUAUGUGAAAGCCUCGAAGGUGAAGAAGCUUAGCUAGUUUGAACAAUGGAUUGAUAUGGCCUUGAGUUGGAUAUGGAAUCAACACAGCAUGUGGUUUUCUCUUUGCAAAAUUACUCAUCUUUGAUCAGUCUAUGAUAUGUCAUAAAACUAUACAAAAGAUAAAACAGGUUACGUAAUGUUACAUAUUUUGGUUUUUGUAUGUUUUGCAACAAGUAACACGAGGAACAUUUUUUUAUAAUUAAAAUAAUGGAGCGGCAAAUAGUACGCCUCUUCUAUCCGUAUAGAUAAAUCAAUAGCAAGUGGUCCACAUUUAUUAAUACAUGUCUCUUUGUCUGAAUAUGUUUUCAAAUGAAUCAUAGUUUCAAAUGAAUCAUCAAUAUCAUUCUAGUCCUUGCAAAUAUCACCUAAGCGCCAUGUAAAUUUUCCAAAAAUGCCCUUGUGUAUUCCGGAUUUUAAAAUCCGGAUUCAUGUUUACUAUUUCGAAUUUUAUAAUCCGGACAAUUCUUAUGUAUAAUCAGCCAUCAGACUCUCACAUUUCAGCAAUUUUGAGUUUUGUUUUUAAAAACAACAAAAAAACUAAGUAAAAAAAAUGCUAAAAGCCUGUCAAAUAAAAUCAUAAAAAUAGAAACAUAAAAUUCUAAAAAUCAAAUAAAACUAAUGCAAAUUUUUCCGAAUUUUUCUGAGAAUAUGAAAAAUUAAAAAAAAUGAAAAAUGGGUCUAAACGAUGGAAUUUUGGAUUUUGAGGGGCGGAGUCCCUUAAGAAGUCUCUUCUGUGGGAGUCAUGGUCCUUGAAUUGUUUCUGAUUUUCUGCGGAAGUUUCGGAGCAAUCCAAUCAAGUAGCCCGAAAACCCGAUUUUUGACUAAGAACAUGUAACAAUGACCCAAAACAGAAGGAUGAAAGUUAGGAAGAUUAAUAUUGUCCCUAAAAUGACUAUCCAUAUUACAAACAUGUUUAGAAUUUGUGCUGAUACAGUUCAGAUUAUAUAAUCCGAACUGUUUUACCUUGAAAAAAGUUGUUUAGGGGAUUUCCGGAUUAUAUAAUCCGGAAACAUCAUGUAACACGCCCUAAUUUUUGAAAUUUCUGGAUUAUAAAAUCCGGAAAAAUCCGUUACUCAUUUUUUCACCCUCUAACAAAAGAAAACACCAUUCUGGAUUAUAAAAUCCGGAAACUUAAGGACAUUUUUGGAAAAAUAGGGCGCGCGAGGAAACCCACAGGGUGGGAAAAGUAACUCCCUAAAAUCUUACAACUUCAUAUUUUUAGGCCCCUUAAAUUAAAGCCCAAAAUAUUAAGAUCCAAGUCCAACGAGAUUUUAGGAUCCAUCAGCAGCCACUUUCUUGCAUGAAAUGUGCAUGGCUUCUUACAUGAGAUUGCACAUGGCACUUUGAGUGAAAUUACACUUGGAUGAUUGCAUGAAUAACACAUGUCCUUGUUGCGUGUAGCUCUCUUGCCGCAUGACUUAAUGCAUGUAACUCUCUUGCCACUAGGCUUAAUGCAUAUAAUUCUUCAUUUUCAUUCUCCUAUAGAUAAGAGUUUCUAAUGUAACUUCAUCAUUCAAGUUUUAUAAAGUGAGUGUUCAUCAAAACCGACCAUCUAUUUGUUCUUGUCCGGUUGUUGUAAACCAUUUUUUCAAAGAUUAAUGAUAUUUGUAGACAACUCUCAUUUUUUCUCUUCUUAUUGGUCAAAAUAAUAGAGAGAGACGGCAAAAAGUUAAGAAGAUAAUGUGAAAAUGAAAGAGAUAGUUGCUUUAAAGUUAUACAAAAAUAAUUGUAUAAAUAUGAUUUCUCUUUUUCAAAUUAAUUGGUUUUGAAAAAAAAUACAAAAAUGUCCUACAUUGAAACAUGAAUACCAAAAUAACUUGUUGUAGAUUGUUUCCUUCGUCAUGGCAGUGAGGUUACCAUGAAGAAUUUGUAAACAGUUUGAAGGCGAAGGAGUUUAUAAAAACGUGAAACCGAAAAAUCACAAGAUGGAAGAGGAAAGGAGAUGCAACAGUCAUUGUGUAAAUGGUGAAACACUGAAAGGUUAAUGACAAAUGCAAUAAAAAAUAAUGUUUUAAUAUUGGCAAAUUCUAUGGUACACCUAAUAUAUUUGAGUGUACCGGUACACCCACUCUUUAAAUUAAUAGUUAAAUAAGUUAUUUUUUGAAGAAAAAUAUUAUUUUUUAUCAUUUAUAAUUAUAAUAACUAAAUCUUAUUCAUAAAAAAUGUCAACAAAAUAAAAUUACUAUUUUUUGAAUUUUUAUCACUCAUAAUCGAGAACAUUCAUUAUUUUUUAUGAUAAUAUGUAAAAAUAAUUACUAUAAUUCUUAUAAACAAUGAAAUGAUGUUUUUUCUUAUGAAAUAAUGUUCUAUAAAAUAUAAAUAUUGAAAAUAGCUAUUUAUUACAUAAAAAAUAUCGUUAAUUUAUAAAAUUAUGAAGCAGGAGUACCGGUACACCUCACUUUGUGAGUGUACCGUAGAAGUUCCCUUUAAUAUUUAGUAUUUUUAAAAAAUUCAACAGAUGACAGAAAAAUAUCAGUUAUUUCUUGUCAAAAAAAAAAUAUCAGUUAUUAAAUUUUGACAGCUUAUACAACGAUUAUAUAACGUACACUUUGCAAAAUAGACAACACUUUUUUUUAAGCAACUUUUAUAUAAUCAUUGUUGAUAUAUACAUUUGAAAAAAAAAAAAAAGGAACCUAUCUUCGUCAUUUGGAAUGGCGACGCUCUUCCAAUCAUUUCCUAAUCCUCGCUAAUCCAAAUUGCAAGGUCCAGCUAGUUUCCAAAAAGUAAAAGAUUUUGGUAUUUAGUUCUUAAUGUAGGGCAUUUUUGUAAUUUUUUAGGGUUAAAUAUGUUUUUAGUCCUUACAUUUUACGCCUAUUUGAAGAAUAGUCCCUACAUUUCAUUAAAUGUUUUUAAAAUCCUCCAUAUUUUAUCUCGGUUAUCAAAAUUAGCUGCCGUUAAUUCUCGUAAAGAUCAUAUUUUGAGAGAGAGAAAACAUAUAAUAUUUUUGCUCAAGAAAGAUCAAAUGCCAAGAAAGUUGCUUACCGACGAUAAGUAUAGUACAUAUUUGACUAUAUGAGGUCAGUGUACAAGUAUCAUACAAUAUGAUUGAAUCCAUUUAGAUUGGUCCGGUGACGUUGGUUUAGGACCUUCAAUUAUGCUCUCUAUAGGUUAUUGUGUUCGAUUUUCCCUAUCGUCAAUUUCGGUGAAUUAAUUUAGUUUCUUAAAAAAACAUAAAGUGGAAGUGAUUAGAAAGACACAUAAUUUAUUAUUAAUAUUGUAAUGUAUUCUUGAAAUGUAUGAGGCAGCCUCUGGACAAGUUAUUAGCCUUCCAAAGUCUGAAGUUUAUUAUAGUAGAAGUCUUCCGAUCCCUACACAAGAGUCCAUCACGGCAAUCCUUGGUGUUGGUGCCGUUAUGGGAACUUGGAAGUAUCUGCCUUCCAUGAUUGGCCGAAGCAAAGAAGCCACCUUCGGCUUUAUUAAAGACUGUGUUUGGCAUAAAAUCAAUUUUUGGAGUAGCAAAUGUCUUUCCAAAGUAGGCAGAGAAGUUCUUAUUAAAUCGGUACUCCAAUCCAUUCCUUCUUAUGUUAUGAGUAUUUAUUUGUUGCCAAACAGAUUAGUCGAUGCUAUAGAAAAAUGAUUAAUGCAUUUUGGUGGGGAAAUGGCGGUUCUACUAGAUGAAGUUUGCAUUGACUUUCUUGGGAAAGGUUAUCUGUUCAUAAAAAUUAUGGUGGAAUGAGAUUUAAAGAUCUUACGUCCUUUAAUGUAGCAAUGCUAGGUAAAUAGGGUUGGAAGUUUCAAACAGAUUCAGAUAGUCUUGUGUCACGUUUGUUUAAGGCGCGCUAUAUUCCUCAUACUGAUUUUCUGAUUUGUCGAAUUGGUGCUAAUCCUAGUUAUGUGUGGCGUAGUAUUUUUAGUGCUAAAAUAGAUGUCCAACAUGGUGCUAGAUGGAGGAUUGGAACGGGUGCUAAUAUUCCUUUGUUUGGUGCACCGUGGCUCAAAGAUGGGCGAUCUUUUACAACAAAUUGUCCUAUGUAUGAAUCUCUUUCUCAUGUUAAAGUACAGAAUAUUAUCGAGCCAACGACAAAGGUUUGGAGCACCACUCUUAUAUCUUCUCCUUUUCGUUAUAAUACUAUCCAGAUUAUUUUGAAUACUACUCUUCAUCCACUUGUUAGCGAAAACAAAUUAGUGCGAAAGGCUGAGAAAAAUGGUAAUUAUUCUGUCCGUAAUGCAUAUCGUAUUUGUGUAACUGACAUUGCAGAUAAUUUCCAUUUACAUGUGUCGGGGAGAUGGAAUUUGAUUUGGAAGCUUAAAGUUCCUCCCAAGAUCAAAAACUUUGUGUGGCGUAAGUGUCAGGGAUGUUUCCUGAUGACAUCUCGUCAUUACGUAAUUUUAUAUGUAUUUUGAUCACAAAUUGGAGUUCACAAGGAAUCUUAUGCAGCAAAAAGAGCAGAAAAUGUGUCAUGAUUUGGAACAAACGUGACACGAUUUUAGAAACCAAAACAUGCUUUCAAUAUUGAGGAAAACGUGUCACGAUGGCAAAAACGUGACACGAUUUGAGGAAACCCUAAUUUAGCUUUUUGUUAUUCAGAGGAAACCAUGUCACGAUUAACUUAAAACGCGACACGAUUUUGGGCGAAUUUCUAUGCCUAUUUAAGCUGAAGUCUAUUCCAAAGACAAGCGUUACAAUUUGAAGAGAGCAAAGUGCGAUUUUGAGACUACAAGAUGGCUAGGAGGGCGAUUUCUUCAUCCUUUUACCUGUUCAUGUAUGUAUUGAUUCCUCUAAUGAUUAUGUUAUUUGUAAACACCAUUAUGACUAGCUAAAUCCAUUAGAGGUUAGGUCUGAGAUGAUUCUUUAUAACCUUAAUUGAACCAUGUUGCUGUGAAACUCUAUUUAUUGUGAAUGACAAUAUAGUUUUUAUUCAAUUCAAUUGUUCUUAAUACUUUUUAUCUCGUGAUCAAAUAUAAACAUGAUUUAGUGAGAACGAAUGACUACUGACCCUAGCUUUCGACUUAGACUGAAUUGAAUUGUUCUAAUAAACAUGGUUAGUCUAGGAAUGAAUAAUCAUUUAUUAGUGAUAUUAGGUUAACAUGCUUAAACCUUCAAAAGUUAGUAGACCACCUAAGGAAUUAGGGGCUACAAGUAACCCUAGAAGAGGGUCCGAACUCAAUGGAUUGAUUAUGACUAUUUUGUUAAUUAUCGUGGAACUAAUGAAUCAUUCAUAAGAAUAGGUGCAGUAUACCAAUUAGGGGAACAUAGAUGAUUCGAAAGACCUAAACUCAUCUCUCUCUUAUUCUUAAAACCAACUUUACUUUAUUUCGUUAAUUUUAUGCAAUCAAACCAAUCAACUGCCUAGUGGCAAAUAAAAAUAACUUUUGUACAUCCUAACUUACAACGUAAUUGAAUUAUUGAAAUUAAAAUCAGUCCUUGUGGGAACGAUAUUUUUACUACUUCGAUAGUAUUCGGUACACUUGCGAAACGUCUAUCAUUUCCCAACACGCACACGCCUUAGCAGCCGAGGAGUGCAUUGUUCCACACAGUCUGUUCUUUGUGGUAGUAACUAUGAAGAUAAGAUUCAUGUGUUGUUGGAAUGCCCAGGUGCAAGGAAAGCUUGGCGUGAGGUUCAAUUAUGGGACACGAUUGACAAAACUCUCCGAAAAAAUUAUAAUAUGGAUACACUUAUUUUUACUCUUCUUGAUCAACUGCCUUUGGUCCAAAGAGAAUUAGUUUUCAGAACUCUCAUGUCGAGUUCAAUAGGAGGCAAGCCAAUGGGGUCGCUAAUGAAUUAGCUAGGGUAGCCCCAUCUCAUACUAGCUCCCAUGUUUAUGAUAAUGUACCGUCAUGUAUUUCUUCUUUGAUUGAUAAUGAGAAGCAAUGAAUUUCUCCUUUCAAAAAAAAAAAAAAUAUAUAUUUUAAUGUAUAUAUUCUAUCCACACCAGUCUUGGAGGAGUUUACUAUGGUCGGUCCAUUACAUUGUACCGUUACAUGACAAAACUUAUACAACCAAAAUAACUAUAUUUAAAACUAUGUAACGAGAAACACUCCAAUCUGUUUACUUGUCUUGUUCUAUUUCCUUUGUAGUUUUCUUGCAUAUCAUAUAUUGUAAUAUUCCAUUUGUUUCUAUUAAAGAAAAUACUCAUCCUUAGAAUACUUUAACAUUGCACAAGAAAAUUAUCAGAAAUGAGUAAUUCUGCAAGCAGAAAACCACAUGCUGUGUUGAUUCCAUAUCCACUUCAAGGCCAUAUCAAUCCAAUGUUCAGAUUAGCAAAACUACUUCACCUUAGAGGCUUUCACAUAACCUUUGUUAACACCGAAUACAAUCACAAACGUUUGCUCAAAUCAAGAGGUCCUAAUGCUUUUGAUGGUUUCACCGAUUUUCGCUUUGAGACUAUUCCUGAUGGUUUAACUCCAAUGGAUGGCGAUGGUGGUGAUGCUACUCAAGACUUGAUAUCUCUUCGCGAAUCAAUCAGAAAGAAUUGCAUCGAACCUUUUCGCGAACUUUUAGCUAAACUUAAUGACUCUGCAAAAGCCGGUCUUAUACCUUUUGUUACUUGCUUAGUUUCUGAUUGUAUUAUGCCAUUUACUACACAAGUUGCUGAAGAACUUGCACUCCCAAUAGUGAUCUUUUUCCCGUCAAGUGCUUGUUCUUUCCUGUCUAUUUUACACUUUCGUGCACUUAUUGAGAAAGGUCUCAUACCACUCAAAGGUAACAGUUUGUGUUCCUUUUCUUAUUAUUUAAGAGAGAUGUGUGUGUACAUAUCAAGGUUUUGAAAACAAGGUCUGCAACCGCGAUCUAGGCUGAGCAUAAAGAUUGCGACGUCUUUAUGAUCGUAUAUGAGGCUGCAUUAGGCUUAUUUGGUUGCGAUUAUGAUUCAUAUAAAAAUAGCGACAUCAUAGAGAUGAUUAUUGCGACCAAGAUUGAAAACCUUGAUAUUUAUAUAUUUCUGCUAUUUACUUUUGCAAUUAUGAUAUGCAGAUGAGAGUUAUUUGACAAAUGGAUAUUUGGACACUAAAGUUGACUGGAUUCCAGGUUUGCGAAACUUUAGACUGAAGGACCUUCCUGAUUUUAUACGGACAACAGAUGCUAAUGAUUUGAUGUUAGAAUUUAUCUUUGAAAUGGUAGAUAGACUUCAUAGAGCUUCUGCUAUUUUUUUAAAUACUUCUAAUGAUCUUGAGAGUGAUGUUAUGAAUGCUCUUUAUUCUAUGCUCCCUUCUCUAUACACCAUUGGCCCAUUUGCUUCGUUUUUGAAUCAAAGUCCACAAAAUCACUUGGAAUCUUUAGGUUCCAAUCUUUGGAAAGAAGAUACUAAAUGUCUUGAAUGGCUUGAAUCAAAAGAAUCAGGAUCUGUUGUUUAUGUUAAUUUUGGUAGCAUCACGAUUAUGUCUCCGGAGAAAUUGUUAGAGUUUGCUUGGGGUUUGGCCAAUAGCAAGAAAACCUUUUUAUGGAUCAUUAGGCCUGAUCUUGUCAUUGGUGGCUCAGUGGUUUUGUCGUCUGAGUUUGUGAAUGAAAUUGCAGAUAGAGGCCUAAUAGCAAGUUGGUGUCCACAAGAGAAAGUUUUGAACCACCCUUCAAUUGGCGGAUUCUUGACUCAUUGCGGAUGGAACUCAACCACUGAGAGCAUAUGCGCUGGAGUGCCAAUGCUUUGUUGGCAAUUCUUUGGUGAUCAACCAACAAACUGUAGAUUUAUUUGCAAUGAAUGGGAGAUUGGGAUCGAAAUCGAUAUGAAUGUGAAGAGAGAGGAGGUUGAAAAGCUUGUCAAUGAAUUGAUGGUGGGAGAGAAAGGAAAUAAAAUGAGGAAAAAGGUUAUGGAGUUGAAAAAGAAGGCAGACGAGGACACUAGACUUGGCGGGUCUUCAUACUUGAACUUGGACAAAGUGAUCAAGGAGGUGUUGCUUAAACAAAAUUAGUUCAAAGUGAUUUAUUUUUUGCAAAGAAGUACUUUUCUUGUAUAUCGAUUUUCUCUUGUUUAAUAUAUUUCUUUGACAAGCAAAAACAUAUGAUUGUGGACCACCACCAUAAGUUUUGUUCCUAAGCUUAUGCAAGCUACACAGAAACAGUGUCUGAUGUUAUCAAGACUCAUUCAUCCAAAAUAUAUAUAUGCUGCAGCUUCACUCUACAUAUUCAAAAUAUAAUUUUAUAUCAUUCAACUCGAUUAAUAGAAAAAACAUUUUCACACUUACAAUAUUCCGGUAAAAGUAUAACGGAUUCAUCACAUAAAACAGAACAGAUUCUAGUUUUAGCCCAAAAAAUAAGAGCAAAACAAUUAAGAAAUAGACUAGAGACCAAAGUUGCAAAAUUCAACUUUAUAUGCAUACCAUAUAACUUCAAAAUGUUGAUACUCAAAACAUUUAAGAUUAGCCAGAAUCACAACUUCAGUUUAGGAACUCCAGCUGAUGAUAGGUUCCAUCAUUAUAAACUCAUUAACUUAUUACCAUCAUUGUAUUUGUACUUGCUAAUACACUGCAAUAACAUCAUAACUUAAGACCCUGUUUGGAUUAACAGCUAAAUUUAUAGCUUAUAGUAUUAGUACUUACCAUAAUAAGCACUUAGUUAUAAGCUAUAUUUAUAAUGCGAAAAUAAAAUAAAGUUAAAUUAGUUUUUUUAUAAGCUGUAAGCUCUUUUUAUAAGCUACUCUUCUAGAGCUUACGGAAAUAAGUUGAAAACAACUCAUGAACAUAUAAGAAGUUGUUUACAUAAAUUCUGCAAACAGUCUUCUAAGUGUUUAUGCCGGUAAAUAAGUUCAAUUAAGCUAAACCAAACAGACCCUAAAUCAUGAAUAGCUAGAAAUUUAAGUGCGGAAUAAGGUUGAAACCCUGAUCAACCAAAUUAUAAACCUAUGAAGCACGGACACAGACAGAGACAUUGGACACGAUACUCACAUGUGUUGGAGCUUGUCAAAGAAAUAUAUUCAAUAAGAGAAAAUCAAUAUAGAAAUACAGUACUUUGCAGGGAAAAAAAUCACUUUAAUCUAAUUUUGUUUGAGCAGCACCUCCUUAAUCACUUUUUCCAAGUUCACAUAUGAACAACCACCUGGUCUUGUGUCCUCCUCUGCCUUCUUCUUCAAUUCCAUGGCCUUUUGCCUCAUCUUCUUUCCUUUAUCUCCCACCAUUAAUUCAUUGAUCAGCUUCUCCACCUCCUCUCUCUUCACAUUGGUAUCAAUUUCUGCUCCAAUCUCCCAUUCAUUGCAAAUAUAUCUGCAAUUUGUUGGCUGCUCAGCAAAAAAAGGCCAACACAACAUUGGUACUCCGGCACAGAUGCUUUCCAUUGUGGAGUUCCAUCCACAAUGAGUCAAGAAUCCUCCAACUGAAGGAUGGUUCAACACUUUCUCUUGCGGACACCAGCUUGCUAUUACGCCUCUAUCCGAAGUUUCAUUCACAAAAUCGGAUGACAAAAUAACCGAGCCACCAAUGACAAGGUCAGGCCUAAUAAUCCACAAAAAAGGUUUCUUGCUGUUGGCCAAACCCCAAGCGAACUCUAACAGUUGAUCUGGAGUCAUGACCGUGAUGCUUCCAAAAUUCACAUAAACUACAGAACCUUGUUCCUUAGAUUCAAGCCAUUCAAGACAUUUCAUAUCUUCUUUCCAAAGAUUAGAACCUAUAGAAGCCAAGUUAUUUUGCGGACUUUGAUUCAAAAAUGAAGUUAAAGGGCCAAUGGCAUAAAUAGAAGGGAUCUUAAUAGAUAGAGCAUUUAUUACAUCAUUCUCAAGUUCAUCAGAAGUAUUGAAAACAAUAGAAUUAGCUUCAUGAACCCUAUCGGCCGCUUCAAUGAUAAAUUUUAUCAUUAUAUCAUUAGGAUCAGUAGUUCUUAUAAAGUCAGGCAGGUCCUUUAGUCUAAAGUUUCCCAAACCUGGAAUCCAGUCAACUUUAGUGUCCAAAUAUCCAUUUGUCAAAUAACUCUCAUCUGCAUAUCAUAAUCACAAAAGCCAUUAACAUCAAACUCUCCAAACUUCUAAUACAUAUUAAGACUUAACUAUUUCAUAAGUUCUAGAUAUAAAAGGAUCAGAUUCUUACAACAUGGACAAAGAAAUAACAUAUAUAAAGUGUUACCUUUGAGUGGUAUGACACCUUUAUCAAUCAAUGUACGAAAGUGCAAAGCCGACAGAAGUGAACAUGCACUAGCUGAACUAAAUAGAACACUAGGUAAACCAUGUUCUUCAGCAGCUUGUAUAGUAAAAGUCAAUCCAAUAUCAGAAACUAAGCAACUAACAGGAGGAAUAUGACCAUCAUUGGAAGAAUCUUUAAGUCUAGCAAGAAGUUCACAGAAGGGGUGAUAGAAAUUCUUUCUUAUUGAAUCGGAAAGAGAGAUAAUGUCUUGACUAACAUCACCAUCGCCUUCUAUCGGAGUUAAACCAUCUGGAAUAGUCUCAAAGGUAAAAUCAGUGAAACCAUCAAAGGCUUUUGGACCUCUUGAUUUGAGCAAACGUUUGUGAUUGUAUUCGGUGUUGACAAAGGUUAUGUGAAAGCCUCUAAGAUGAAGAAGUUUUGCUAGUUUUAACAACGGAUUGAUAUGGCCUUGAAGUGGAUAUGGAGUUAUCACUGCAUGUGGCUUAAUUCUCUCUGCAAAAUUGCUCAUGUUUGAAUUUGUGUGUGUAAGAUAAGUUUAAGAAUAAAGGGAUACAAGUGAUCUUUGCUUUAAUAGAGAGAAAAUGUCAUCUUCAUUGUUUGGUGUAAGAAAAUGAGGGAAGUACAAAGGAUAAGUGUUAUACCCUGUUUUUGGACCUAAAAAUACUGGGCCCAAUUUCAUUUCAAACUUUGUCAAUUAUCAAAUUUCAACUGCACAGUUCAAAUUGUCUCUGCCUCGCAGUAUUUUUCAAUCACAAUUUUACCUAUGUUUUUCUUGCAUAAAACCUUUCGAAAUGUCUUUACUUGUCUUGUAAGUCAUUCAAAAGUGUCUCUGAAUCAUUACAUUGCUUUUUCCACAGUUUAUUUCAAAAUUUGCAAAGAAGUCAUACAGAAGGGUAUUUUGGUCAUUUCCCGCAGUGGGACCCAUUUUCAUCCUUGUGACUGUCUCUGAGUCUUUUCAAAUUCAUUUUUAACUUUCCAUCAGUAAACCUUGCUAAUUUCGUUUCAAACUUGCAUCUGAGUCAGUGUCGAGUUAAUUUGAUUCUGUUUAGGUCAUUUUUAGCCCUAGGGGCAUUUUGGUCAUUUCACAUAAAAUUUUGGCAUGGGGAGGUUACUUUGAAGUACCUCAUUUAGGCCAUUGGUUCGUUUUAGUCCGUUUUGUCAAUUUUAUUUUUUUGUUUCGCUUUACGUUUUGUCAGGUUACCAAUUUUAUUUCAAUUUUAUUUUAUUUUGCAUUUUGGUCCUCAAAGAGGUCCAAAAUUGCAUUUCAGUCCAGAAUUCUUUCUAUUUGCAUUUUUAGUCCUUUUUGUUAUUUCCAUUUUAGUCCUUUAAUUUUUCAAUUUUGCAGAAAAGGGCUCAAAGUGUCAAGCUCACGUUUUUUUUCAGUUAAAGUCCAGAUGUCACAAUUCUAUUGGUCCAAGAUCACACAUGUCAGCUAUAAAAGGUGUACAGUGCCACACAGACCCAUUAAUCACACGCCAACUCAUAAACACAAAAUCAAUUUUCUCUUUCUCAGCAAUUAGAUCAAAAACAGAAAAUCUCUCAGAAUUUCUCAAGAACACCAGGAACAAAAACCCUAACCGUUUUCCAGAAACCCUAAUUUUCAUCAGAAUCAACAUUUUUUGCAUCAAUCCUCAGAGAUUCGUGUGAAUCUUCAUCACCGGACUGAAGAUUUUCCUGCAAUUCCAAGUGCGAGCUCGCAUUGAAGCAAGCUCAAGCACUGAUCACAGGAUCUCCUCGCGUGGAUCUAAGAAACAUUGAAGCAAGCUCAAGCACGUAAUCACAGAGAAGCAGAGAAAGAGUCAGAGAAGAUGAAGAAUCUGGACCGGUGAAGCAAACAGAAUCAAAAAUCAUCAAGAACAGAAUCAAGAUUUCCAAAGAUUUCCUCCAUUAAAGGUUUCAACCAAAACCUUAGGUAAAACUCAUAAUCUUUUCUCAGAAAAUAAUAUCACUGUUAAACCUAAAAAUCACGCAAGCAAAACAGAUCCAAAAUUUCCAGAAUUCAAAGCCAAAACCGUAACCGUGAACACAAAACCUAGAUCCAUAAGGAUCUAAGUUUUGAAAGCAAAAACAAACAUCAAAGAGGUGUUAAACAACGAAAUGAUGUAGAUCUUCAAGGAUCUAAACGUUUUCUUUCAAAAAAUCAAAAUCAAAUUCAAAGCCGUACGACAAAUUUCCAGAUCUACAUCGUUUCGAAUUGAAUUUGAAAAAACAAUUGCUGGAUUCGUGUUUAGGGUUAAAGGACGAAUUGAUUGAUGAAGAAAUUUUGAAAUUCUGGAAAUUUUAGGUCACCGGAGUUCUUGAACUCGCCGGAGAAGAUGAAGUUUCCGGCGGACCUUCAAGGUCUCCGCCGUAGCUUCAUCCUCGCCGGCGGCGAGGUUAGUGAGAGGUGAGAGAAGAGAGAGGAACUUAGAGAGAGAAAGGGGAGUGAAAAGUGAAGAAAACCGGAACCUCUUCCCUUAUAUAAGCUAGUGAACCAGACCGGUUCAAGACCGGUCCAAUCCUGUUGAUUCCAGGCCGUUUGAUCUAGGGUUUCAGGAUCCUGGAUCAAUCCUGUGGCUCCUGUGAAUCCGGUUCUUUAGGGUUUUGGGUUGGGCCUUUGGUUUCUUUGGAUCUUUACGUUUUGCUAUUUCUGUGCUAUUCACACCCCUAUUUUUUGCUGCCUGCACCUAUGUCUUGAUUAAAAUUGUGAUAAAAUUCCUAGAAAAAUUCAUACAUGUUUCUUGAUAUUUUCUUAGUGUUUUUAUGACAUUUUUGCACAUUAAGGAUCUAUGAAAAUUUUGUAUAAUCAAUUCAUAGCAUUUUAAUUCUCUUUGAAUUAUUUGUUAUGGAUUCUUCUUCACACAUUUGUCCUUGAUGUGAGAAUAUGUAAUAAAAGCUACUUGAUGUGUUAAUAUGAGAGAUUUGUGCCUAUAAUUUCAUGUUGAUUUGCUGUUUUGAUUUGGUUUAUGAGUUCUUGUUUUUAUGAACAAUAUAUCCAUAUUUUGAAAGAUAUAAAAUGCCAAGUUUACUCUAGAAAAUAUGGCAUGAAAUCAUGCUUGCAUGUUUCCAAUAAUUCCAUGCUAUAACUUGAGAUAAAGAAAACUCUUUCAAAAUUUGUUAAAGCAUGAGAAUUAGAGGCCAAGAAUGCUUUAGGUUUCAUACCUAAGUUUUUAGGGUUUAAUGUCAUUUUGUUAACUUUUUGUGCCAUCUUGCAUGCUUUUAUUUCUUAGUACUUGUUAUGUUUUUUCUUUUCACUAACAAGUUUAUUUCCAUGUUUCAUGCAUCCCAUUUAGCAUUCCCUCCACUUUCUUUAGCCUAGCCUUUAUCUUUUGCAAGUUUUAAUUCAUUUGGUAAUGUAAUUUGUUAUCAUUGGUUUGUAGCUUGGCAAAGGGGCCAUAGAAUGUAUUUAGGCAAUUUUUGUAAUAUGGACUAUGGACACUAUGAUGCACCGACACGCACACACUCACCUUAGAUGUAUGCAUAGGAUUGUAUGGUUAAAUAAGCGUUUAGGUUUUAAACACUUAGAGAAAAUCCAUCUUUUUUUCAAAAAAAAAUAAUUGAACUUCACUUCAAAAACUUUCCUAAUAAGUAUGAAGUCAACACUUCAUUUUUUUCCUUUCUUUUUUUCUUAAGAAAAAUUCAAUUCAUCUUAAUCAUUUAGACUUUCUUUCUAAUCACUAAUCAAACCUCACUUUUUGCUAAAUCUAAUGCUCAUGAAGCCUCCCAAUCUCCUUCUUCAAAACCUUUUUUCUCAAAACUUAAAAUUAAACAAUUAGAACAAAAAACAAGUCUUUUUAGCAAGAACUACGCCGGUUUUGAUCCCGUAAAACGGUACGUAGGCAAUGAGUCAAAACUCAUCCAAGCCGAAAUAAAAUCCAAUUCUACUUCUUCUCACCCCCAUUCUUCACUAAUCAUACUUUCUUUUUUACAAAUAAGCAAUAAAACUAAAGCGUAGAAAUAAACUUAGGAAAGCGGUUCUUAUGGAGUACCAUAAUCGCUCCGGGUGCCUAACACCUUCCCGUAGCGAAAACGACCCCCGAACUUAGAAUCUAAGGGUUUUUCUCAAUUUUGCCCUUCCCAAGAAAAAAUAGAGAAUAUCAACGGUCAAAAGGUUCAAGUCCAAUUAAUGGCUUGGCACCCAAAAACCAUGAUAACAGAAAUGGCGACUUCACUGGGGAUUUUUUUAGCGGGUCACGCCUAGUUUUCCUUAGUUUAUUUACGCUUUGUUUUAUUGCUUACAUAUGUGAAUACUUGUUUACUUUCAUUUGACGUGUGGGGUGAGAAUAUCAAAAGUCCUAUACCCGGGCUGAGUGAACUUAUGUUUAGGUAGAGAUAUAAUCGAGAAUUCGAUCCGGGGGUUGCCUCGUGUAUUGGAUUAUGCGAUCAAUCUCACAUAGCUGAGGCAUUUUGAAGGUGAUAUUGUCGGCGUGUGUUGUCAUGCUUAGGCACUUCACUUUCAAUUGUUCGACGAAGCUAUGAACCGUAGUUACCAAACCCAUCCUAGCCUUUUUAGGACGUAGUGCGGUGGCUAAAUUGAGUGUUGUCUCAAACUUUAGUCGUCACGCGAUACUACACUCAAGCUAGACCUUCUCACAAAUAAUCAUGGAACGGGUGUCGUCCUGUACUACCAUGAUAUAUGUGAGAGAGGUUGCAGUUUGGGAACUGUGUUAGAACCAUGGUUACUACUAUCCAAAGCCUUAGUUCACCGGACGCCGUGUCCAUCCGUGGCCCCGUUACUUUGAAACUCAAUCCACUUUUAACAACACGAUCAUGCAUACAUGCAUUCAUGCAUAAACAUUUUUCAUGCAUUCAUCGAAGGGUUUAAACAAAUGGAAAUUUUUGUAAAUAAUCACAGGUAUGAAGAAGACUAAGUGCUACAAGUUCAAGGAAGUGGAUUUGGUUAGUUUGAGAGAGUUGGCACUCAAGGUCAAGAGUCAAACAGGGUUCCGACUCCGGUAUGGGGGAUUGCUUACUUUGCUCCGAACCGAUGUGGACGAGAAGCUAGUGCACACUCUAGUGCAAUUUUAUGAUCCAAGCUUCUGUUGCUUCACCUUCCCGGACUUCCAGUUGGUUCCUACUCUCGAGGCUUACUCCAAUCUAGUGGGUUUACCUAUGGCCGAGAAGACGCCUUUCACCGGUCCCGGGACUUCUCUUACUCCUCUGGUUAUUGCUAAGGAUCUCUACCUCAAGACUUCCGACGUCUCCAACCAUCUUAUUACCAAGUCUCACAUUCGGGGGUUCACUUCGAAGUAUCUUCUUGAUCAGGCUAAUCUCGGUACUACUCGUCAGGAUACACUCGAGGCUAUUCUUGCUUUGCUUAUCUACGGGCUCAUUCUCUUCCCGAACCUCGACAACUUCGUGGACAUGAAUGCUAUCGAGAUCUUUCAUUCCAAGAACCCGGUUCCUACUUUGCUAGCGGAUACCUACCACGCCAUUCAUGACAGGACUCUCAAGGGCCGUGGGUAUAUUCUUUGCUGCAUACCUCUUCUGUAUAGGUGGUUUAUUUCGCACCUUCCGAGUUCCUUCCAUGAUAACUCGGAGAACUGGUCCUACUCGCAGCGGAUUAUGGCCCUCACUCCUAAUGAGGUCGUCUGGCUCACUCCGGCCGCUCAGGUGAAGGAAAUUGUCAUGGGUUGUGGAGACUUUCUCAAUGUACCUCUUCUUGGUACUCGUGGAGGAAUUAACUACAACCCCGAGCUUGCUAUGAGGCAGUUUGGUUUUCCUAUGAAGUCGAAGCCCAUCAAUCUUGCUACAUCUCCAGAGUUCUUCUUCUAUGCGAAUGCUCCUACCGGACAAAGGAAAGCUUUCAUGGAUGCUUGGUCCAAGGUUCGAAGGAAGAGUGUGAAGCAUCUAGGUGUGAGAUCCGGUAUUGCUCAUGAGGCCUAUACUCAGUGGGUGAUAGAUCGAGCUGAGGAGAUCGGUAUGCCUUAUCCAGCUAUGAGAUAUGUGUCUUCGUCUACUCCAUCUAUGCCUCUACCUCUACUCCCCGCGACUCAGGAUAUGUAUCAGGAGCAUCUAGCUAUGGAGAGUCGUGAGAAGCAAGUGUGGAAAGCUCGGUACAAUCAAGCCGAGAAUCUAAUCAUGACUUUGGAUGGUAGAGAUGAGCAGAAGACUCAUGAGAAUCUAAUGUUGAAGAAAGAGCUAGCUAAGGCCCGGAGGGAAUUGGAAGAGAAAGAUGAGCUGCUUAUGAGGGACUCCAAGAGAGCCAGAGGACGACGAGACUUCUUUGCCAGAUACUGUGAUUCAGAUUCCGAGUCCGAUGAUCUUCCGACUACUUCCUAUGCUUGAGGGCUUCAUAUGUUUAUUUCAAAGUCUUUCUGUUGAGAAUACUAUGUAGUUUUGUUUAUUUGCAAGAUUUCUAAUUUGUUUAAAAAUCCUUCGAUGAGAGAAUAAGUCUUUUGCAUUUGCAUUUGCACAUCAUGCAUCAUAUGCAUCAUGCAUUGGUCACAAAGGCUUCCAAGUGCUUACCACCUCCUGGUUUCUCUGCCGCAGUGUGAAAAGUGGCUCGUGCUCAGAGAAUUUACGAACCUGAUAGAAUUGAUCGAACCAGAGAAUACAGAAGAAAGAAAAGGGCUAUGGAAGAAGAGAACACACAGCUUCGUACCGAAUUGGCAUCUCUAAGGGAGGAAUUGGCCAAAGCUCAUGAUGCUAUGACUGCUCUGUUGGCUGCUCAGGAACAACCAGUUCCUGUAGUUUCUACAGCUGCAAAUGUGACUCCUACCGUAACAACUGAUCCCCGCUCUAUCAUGCCAUCCGGGUACCCUUACGGACUUCCGCUGUACUAUACUACUAAUACAGGGGCAGGGACCUCUGGUACUACCAACAAUGGCCCAAUCCCAGGGGCAAACUUAACUCCUGUUAGUACCGCCUUGACUCAAGCUGCAACGACUGUUACCGAGCCCAUUGUGAAUGCGGUGCCUCUAUUUGUCCAUGCUAAUGCGCACCACGGGAGUAUUGCCACAACCGGAACUAUGGAAGAGAGAAUGGAAGAACUUGCCAAAGAGCUCCGACGGGAAAUUAAGGCCAACAGGGGAAACGGGGACUCCAUUAAAACCCAGGAUCUCUGCUUGGUAUCGAAGGUAGAUGUUCCAAAAAAGUUCAAAGUCCCGGAGUUCGACAAAUAUAACGGGCUGACUUGUCCUCAAAAUCAUAUUGUCAAAUACGUCCGGAAGAUGGGCAACUACAAGGACAAUGAUUCCCUUAUGAUCCAUUACUUCCAAGACAGUCUGAUGGAAGAUGCUGCAGAGUGGUAUACUAGUCUGAGCAAAGAUGAUGUCCAUACCUUUGAUGAGCUAGCCACCGCUUUCAGGAGCCACUACGGGUUUAACACUCGUUUGAAGCCGAAUAGGGAGUUCCUCAGGUCCCUAUCUCAGAAAAAGGAGGAGAGUUUCCGUGAAUAUGCGCAAAGGUGGAGAGGGGCAGCUGCCCGUAUCACUCCUGCUUUAGAUGAAGAAGAAAUGACCCAGACAUUCUUAAAGACCUUGAAGAAGGAUUAUGUUGAGAGGAUGAUCAUCGCCGCCCCGAACAACUUUUCAGAGAUGGUCACUAUGGGAACCCGUCUUGAGGAAGCAGUCAGGGAUGGAAUCAUUGUGUUUGAGAAAGCUGAAUCUUCUACGAGUGCAUCGAAGAGGUAUGGUAAUGGACACCACAAGAAGAAAGAAACGGAAGUGGGGAUGGUGUCAGCUGGAGCCGGUCAAUCUAUGGCUACUGUUGCACCUAUCAAUGCAGCUCAAAUGCCUCCGUCAUACCCAUAUAUGCCGUAUUCUCAGCAUCCGUUCUUCCCACCGUUUUAUCAUCAGUAUCCUUUGCCACCAGGCCAACCUCAGGUUCCUGUCAAUGCCAUCGCUCAACAGGUACAACAUCAACCGCCAGUUCAACAGCAGCAGCAGCAGUAUACUAGACCAACUUUUCCUCCUAUACCAAUGUUGUAUGCUGAGUUGCUUCCAACUUUACUCCAGAGAGGACAUUGCACAACUAGACAGGGCAAGCCACCACCUGAUCCGUUGCCUCCAAGGUUCAGGUCUGAUCCCAAAUGUGACUUUCAUCAAGGUGCCUUAGGUCAUGAUGUCGAGGGGUGUUAUGCUUUGAAGUAUAUUGUGAAGAAGCUCAUUGAUCAGGGAAAGCUGACUUUUGAGAACAAUGUUCCACAUGUCCUUGACAAUCCACUACCAAAUCAUGCCGCUGUGAAUAUGAUCGAAGUGUGUGAGGAAGCUCCUAGACUUGAUGUCCGCAAUGUUGCCACUCCCCUGGUGCCUCUGCAUAUCAAGCUAUGCAAAGCUUCUCUGUUCAGCCAUGAUCAUGCCAAGUGUCUAGGAUGCCUCCGUGAUCCUUUGGGUUGCCAUACUGUUCAAGACGACAUCCAAAGCCUGAUGGAUGAUAAUCUUCUGACUGUCAGUGAUGUUUGCGUGGUCGUGCCAGUUUUUCACGAUCCGCCUGUCAAGAGUGUACCUUUGAAGAAGAAUGCUGAGCCUUUGGUGAUAAGGUUGCCAGGACCAAUUCCUUAUGUUUCGGACAAGGCAGUGCCAUACAAGUACAAUGCUACUAUGAUAGAAAAUGGAGUAGAGGUGCCUCUAGCCUCCUUUGCCACAGUAAGCAAUAUUGCCGAAGGGACUUCUGCAGCGCUAAGAAGCGGGAAGGUUCGUCCGCCAUUAUUUCAGAAGAAGGUAGCUACGCCAAUCACUCCACCAGUUGAAGAAGCAACUCCAACCGUUGUUUCACCCAUUGCUACAGAUGUGAAUCAGCCAGGCAAGUCUAUAGAGGAUUCGAAUUUAGAUGAGAUUCUGAGAAUAAUAAAGAGGAGCGACUACAAGAUCGUUGAUCAAUUGCUGCAAACUCCUUCGAAGAUAUCCGUCUUGUCACUACUCUUGAGCUCUGAGGCUCAUAGGAAUACCUUGUUGAAAGUGCUGGAGCAGGCUUAUGUUGACCACGAAGUCUCGGUAGAUCGUUUCGGUGGCAUAGUGGGAAAUAUCACUGCUUGUAACAACCUCUGGUUCAGUGAAGAAGAGUGGCCAGAAGUGGGAAAGGGUCACAAUCUGGCUUUGCACAUCUCGGUGAACUGUAAAUCAGACAUGAUAUCAAAUGUGUUGGUGGAUACCGGUUCCUCUCUCAAUGUAAUGCCCAAGACAACUCUAGAUCAGUUGAGCUACCGCGGGACCCCGUUGAGGAGAAGUACUUUCUUGGUCAAAGCUUUUGACGGAUCUCGAAAGAAUGUGCUGGGAGAGAUAGACUUGCCGAUAACUAUUGGCCCUGAGAAUUUCUUGGUUACCUUCCAAGUGAUGGACAUUAAUGCAUCCUACAGUUGCCUGCUGGGAAGACCGUGGAUACACGAUGCAGGUGCGGUUACUUCCACUUUACAUCAGAAGUUGAAAUUUGUGAAGAAUGGAAAACUCGUUACAAUCCAUGGUGAAGAAGCAUACUUAGUCAGCCAGUUGUCUUCUUUUUCUUGUGUUGAAGCAGGGUCUGCUGAAGGGACUGCUUUCCAAGGUUUGACCAUUGAAGGCGCAGAGCCUAAGGAAGCUGGGGCUGCUAUGGCUUCAUUGAAAGAUGCUCAGAGAGCCAUCCAAGAAGGUCAGACUGCCGGCUGGGGCAAGGUGAUACAGCUCUGUGAGAACAAGCGUAAAGAAGGUCUCGGGUUCUCCCCGUCAUCAAGGGUUUCCUCGGGAGUCUUCCACAGUGCAGGGUUUGUUAAUGCUAUCUCUGAAGAAGCCACUGGAUCUGGUCUCAGGCCUGUAUUUGUUACACCAGGAGGCAUUGCGACAAAUUGGGAUGCCGUUGACAUUCCUUCAAUCAUGCAUGUUUCUGAGUAAUGUGUCUUGUUGCUUUAGUACUUUGUUUUCAAAAUAACAAUCCUCUCGCUCUGCCCAAAGCGAGAGUGAUAUUUUCUGUAAGGGCAUGUUUGUUUCGGCAUUGCCGUUGAUUAAUAAAAUUUUGUCGUUUCUUCCACGACUACUUUUUUUAAGUGCUUUUUCCCUUGGAAGCAAUGGUAAUGCCAGAAAAAACCAAAACGUCUGUAUUUUCUUAUUAAUUUCAAAAAUCUGCAUGAAAAAAAACUCUUUCUAAAAAUCAUCCAAUCAUUAUAUGCAGGUUGAACCAUAAUAAAUCCGUUGAACACAGUAAUCCUACGGUUCCUCCAAGUUUUGAUUUCCCUGUAUAUGAAGCCGAAGAUGAGGAAGGUGAUGACAUACCGUAUGAGAUCACUCGGUUACUUGAGCAAGAAAAGAAAGCCAUUCAGUCUCACCAAGAAGAGAUUGAGCUUAUCAACAUAGGUACCGAGGAAAACAAGCGAGAAAUCAAGAUUGGUGCUACCCUAGAGGAAGGGGUUAAACAGAAGAUCAUCCAACUCCUCCGGGAAUAUCCGGAUAUUUUUGCAUGGUCCUAUGAAGAUAUGCCAGGUCUAGACCCUAUGAUCGUGGAGCAUCGGAUCCCUACCAAGCCUGAAUGUCCUCCCGUCAGGCAGAAAUUGAGAAGGACUCAUCCUGACAUGGCCCUCAAGAUUAAGAGUGAAGUUCAAAAGCAGAUUGAUGCGGGUUUCCUCAUGACAGUGGAGGUAUCCCGAAUGGGUUGCCAAUAUUGUGCCUGUGCCAAAGAAGGAUGGUAAAGUCCGGAUGUGUGUUGACUUUAGGGACUUGAACAAAGCCAGUCCAAAAGACAACUUUCCGUUACCUCAUAUUGAUGUGCUUGUUGAUAAUACUGCUCAAUCUAAGGUGUUCUCCUUCAUGGACGGUUUUUCCGGUUAUAAUCAGAUCAAAAUGUCUCCUGAAGAUAGAGAAAAGACAUCUUUUAUCACGCCAUGGGGUACUUUCUGCUACAAAGUGAUGCCGUUCGGCCUAAUCAAUGCUGGUGCUACCUACCAAAGGGGAAUGACCACUCUGUUUCAUGACAUGAUUCACAAAGAAGUUGAGGUAUAUGUGGAUGACAUGAUUGUGAAGUCAGCAGAUGAGGAGCAGCAUGUUGAAUAUUUAACAAAGAUGUUUGAAAGGUUGAGAAAAUACAAGCUGCGACUGAAUCCCAACAAAUGUACAUUCGGUGUCAGGUCUGGAAAGUUAUUAGGCUUCAUUGUCAGCCAAAAGGGCAUUGAAGUCGAUCCUGAUAAAGUCCGGGCCAUCCGAGAAAUGCCAGCUCCACAGACAGAGAAGCAAGUCAGAGGUUUCUUGGGACGUUUGAAUUACAUCUCCCGAUUCAUAUCUCAUAUGACUGCAACCUGCGGGCCGAUCUUCAAACUACUUAGAAAGAACCAGCCUGUUGUAUGGGAUGAUGAAUGCCAAGAAGCUUUUGAUAGCAUCAAGAAUUACCUGCUGGAACCACCUAUCCUUGUCCCACCCGUGGAAGGAAGGCCUUUGAUUAUGUAUUUGGCAGUAUUUGAUGAAUCCAUGGGAUGUGUACUUGGUCAACAAGAUGAAACCGGAAAGAAAGAGCAUGCUAUCUACUAUCUAAGCAAGAAGUUCACCGAUUGUGAAACUCGGUAUACAAUGCUUGAAAAGACUUGUUGUGCUCUAGCUUGGGCUGCCAAACGCCUGCGCCAUUAUUUGGUGAAUCAUACAACUUGGUUGAUAUCCAGAAUGGAUCCGAUAAAGUAUAUCUUUGAGAAAGCGGCCGUUACUGGGAAGAUCGCACGCUGGCAGAUGCUUUUGUCUGAAUAUGAUAUUGUGUUCAAAACUCAAAAGGCAAUCAAAGGCAGCAUUCUUGCCGAUCACCUUGCUUAUCAACCUCUUGAUGAUUACCAACCAAUUGAAUUCGAUUUCCCUGAUGAAGAGAUCAUGUAUUUGAAAUCCAAAGACUGCGACGAACCGUUGAUUAAUGAAGGUCCAGAUCCCAAUAGCAAGUGGGGUUUAGUCUUUGAUGGUGCUGUCAAUGCUUAUGGCAAAGGAAUUGGGGCAGUCAUUGUAUCCCCGCAAGGGCAUCACAUUCCUUUUACCGCCCGUAUUCUGUUCGAAUGUACAAACAAUAUGGCUGAGUAUGAAGCAUGUAUCUUCGGGAUCGAGGGAGCAAUUGACAUGAGAAUCAAACACCUCGACAUCUAUGGAGAUUCUGCGCUCGUCAUCAAUCAGAUAAAGGGUGAAUGGGAGACCCACCAUGCUAAGUUGAUUCCUUAUCGUGAUUAUGCGAGACGUCUUCUGACAUAUUUUACAAAGGUUGAGCUGCAUCAUAUUCCUCGUGAUGAGAACCAAAUGGCUGAUGCUCUUGCUACUCUAUCUUCCAUGUUUCGAGUAAACCAUUGGAAUGAUGUGCCAUUAAUUAAAGUGCAACGCCUUGAAAGACCUUCGCAUGUGUUUGCUAUUGGGGAUGUGAUCGAUCAGGCUGGUGAAAAUAUGGUUGACUAUAGACCCUGGUACUACGACAUCAAACAGUUCUUGCUGAGCCGUGAGUAUCCGCCGGGUGCUUCCAAACAAGACAAGAAGACCUUGAGAAGAUUGGCCGGUAGAUUCUUGUUAGAUGGAGAUAUUCUGUACAAGAGGAACUAUGACAUGGUAUUGUUAAGAUGUGUUGAUGAACAUGAAGCAGAGCAGUUAAUGCAUGAUGUACAUGACGGUACCUUCGGGACCCAUGCUACAGGGCAUACUAUGUCAAGAAAGUUGCUACGGGCAGGUUACUACUGGAUGGCCAUGGAGCAUGAUUGCUACCAAUACGCCAGAAAAUGCCACAAAUGUCAAAUCUAUGCUGAUAAGAUUCAUGUGCCUCCGCACGCUCUCAAUGUUAUGUCAUCCCCAUGGCCGUUCUCAAUGUGGGGCAUCGAUAUGAUUGGAAGAAUUGAACCGAAAGCUUCAAAUGGUCAUCGUUUCAUCUUAGUGGCAAUUGACUACUUUACCAAAUGGGUUGAAGCAGCAUCUUAUACCAAUGUGACCAAGCAAGUGGUAGCUAAGUUCAUCAAGAACAACAUCAUCUGUCGAUAUGGUGUUCCCAGCAAGAUUAUUACCGACAAUGGUACCAACCUGAACAACAAUGUGGUGCAAGCUCUUUGUGAAGAAUUCAAAAUUGAGCAUCAUAACUCUUCUCCUUAUAGACCUCAGAUGAAUGGUGCAGUUGAGGCCGCCAAUAAGAAUAUCAAGAGAAUUGUCCAGAAGAUGGUAACCACUUACAAGGACUGGCAUGAGAUGUUACCCUAUGCUCUGCAUGGCUACCGUACUACCAUGCGCAGUUCAACCGGGGCAACCCCUUUCUCUCUUGUAUAUGGUAUGGAAGCAGUUCUUCCUUUGGAAGUGGAGAUCCCAUCUCUCCGUGUGAUCAUGGAAGCAAAGUUAUCCGAAGCUGAAUGGUGCCAAAGCCGGUAUGAUCAGUUGAAUUUGAUUGAGGAAAAACGUAUGGAUGCCAUGGCUCGUGGACAGUCAUAUCAAGCAAGAAUGAAGACUGCCUUUGACAAGAAAGUCCAUCCUCGAGAAUUCAAGGUAGGGGAACUUGUAUUGAAAAGGAGGAUAAGCCAGCAACCCGACCCGAGGGGCAAGUGGACGCCUAACUAUGAAGGUCCUUAUGUCGUCAAGAAGGCCUUCUCCGGUGGUGCUUUAAUCCUUACACACAUGGAUGGUGUAGAGCUUCCAAAUCCAGUGAAUGCCGAUAUAGUCAAGAAAUACUUUGCCUAAAAAUAUGAAAAGAACAGCGUGGUAGGUCGAAAACCCGAAAGGGCGGCCUAGGCAAAAAUGCGCUUCCCGGUGGAUCGAAAACCCGAAAGGGCGGUCCAGGCAAAAAUAAGGGACAAAAAAAACAACAAAUAUGAAAAGCUCGCUGAGAUUGUACACAACUCAGGCAAGAAUGAGCGUCUCGAUGAGCCGAAAACCCGGAAGGUCGGUUCAUGCAAAAAUGAGAUUGAAACAAAAGGCAAGUAACUAUAUCUGGCCAACCACCGUCCCCCUUGGGGCAUCUGCAGCUGUUAAUGCCUAUCUUCAUCAAAAGCUUCUGUACUUGUGAAUUCGAAGUUUCUGGGAAAUGUCAUGAUUACUGUGUUCAAUGUACCACCAACCAAUAAAAUUACCAUUUUCCAAGCUUUGUGAAUCCGUGGAGUCGUGCCUUCGGCUGAUCACCACUCUUAUACAUCAAUUUGAGCUUGUGCUUUUGUUUGAAACUCUAUUUUUCUUCUACUUUCAAAGCUGUAUACAAAACAUUCUCUUUCCAUUUUGAUAAUGACAAUGCUUGAAACAAACAUUUUUGAAAAUUGAAAACUUUUUGUCUAUUUUGAAAAGCAAACCCGAGCAACAGGGUACAUUCAAAUGAACAUGCAUGAGCGAGUGUGUGUGGGUGUCUAUCUUCAAUAUAUGUUACAAGCAGGUUCUCCUCCAAGAUAAUCUGUGGUCAAUGGCAAGAAUGAAAAAACAGAAUGAAAAUGCAUGAAAAUGAAUGAGCUCGCUAAGUUGAAAACCCGAAAGGGCGACUUAGGCAAAAAUGAGCACCCCGCUGGAUUGACAACCCGAAAGGGCAGUUCAGGCAAAAAUGGGGCAUUGAAAAGAAUUUAUUUCCCCGGUGGGUCGAAAACCCGAAAGGGCGAUCCAGGCAAAAAUGGGAUGCAAAAAAUGAAUGAUGAAGAUUGAGAAUAUAACAUGCAAAAAGCAUUGACCACAGAUGCGAUGUCCACAACAUGCCCAGCACAACGGCAUUAUCCCCAGUAAAGUCUCUCAAGAUUCUAUCCCCAGCAAGUUGCAUAGCUACCAGCCCUCAGCCUAGGUCCCGAAACGUCUCCCAACGACGUCAUCUCCAAAGAGGAUUUCCAAGAAUGUGUAAUAUAGCUCGAGCCACUACGUGCCCAAUACUCUGAUGUCUUGUCUUCCCCGUGAAGUCGUGCCUACAAAAUGCCAACAGUCAUGCAUUACAAGCAUUCAUACAUGCAUAAUCAUGCAUAUUACGUACCCAUGCAUUUAAUGAAAUUGUUAUAUCAUCCAUGCAUAUUGCAUUUCCAAUGUCAACAUCAGUCUCAAUUCAACACUCAUGUCAGGUUCUCUGUCAAAACCUUGUGAGCCAAUAAUAUCGGUCAAUUUCUACCUUUCAAUUCAAAUCGACGUCAAGUCAAUCUCAAUCUAUAUUUUGUCAACAAACCAAUCCCCAGUGAAUAUGUUUUUGUUCGGUCAAGUUACUAGUUCGCAUCCAAGAACGACUUGCACCCGUUUACUUUUCAAUGUUAUCGGUCGAGUGCCCAGCUCAAUCCAAGAGCAGCUUGUACCUGUCUAUUUGUUUCUGUCCGGUGGAGUAACCAGUUCGCAUCCAAGAACAAGCUCACACCUGUUUAUUUGCCUUGCUUUCGGUCGAGUAACCAGUUCGAAUCCUUAAGAACAACUCGUACCUGCCAAUUUUACAUGUUUUCAGUCGAGUCACCAGUUCGAAUCCGUAAGAACAACUCGUACUUGCCAAUUUUCUCUUUUUCCCAGUCGGGUCACCAGUUCGAAUCCAUAAGAACAACUCGCACUUUCCAGUAUCCCCAAGUGAGUUAUCAGUUCGAAUCCAUAAGAACAACUCAUAUUUGUCCAGUAACCUCUAUCCCCUGUGGAGUGACCAGUUCGAAUCCAUAAGAACAACUCGCAGUUGUCUGUUUGUUUCAUUCCCGGUCAGGUGCCCAGCUCGAUCCAAGAGCAGCUUGUACCUGUCCAACUUGUUUCUAGUUUCCCGUUACUCUGCUAUUCACUAUCUUUGUCAAUGUCUACCAAUCCCGCAAUGGAUACGACAUAUUUUGUUAAUUCCAAUCCCCAUGAGGUCUUGCAUUCAUAAUCCAAACGAUGCAUGGCAUGCAUAUUAUUUGAAAAUGGGUAGGCGUAUUUUUACGUCCAAACACAGUGCAAAUGCUAAUAUUUAAGUAUCUUCGUCCUGUCAAGCCAAAGACUCCGUCUCUUGACUCUCCAGACAAAGAAACUUAAAUAGGGGCAGCUGUUAUACCCUGUUUUUGGACCUAAAAAUACUGGGCCCAAUUUCAUUUCAAACUUUGUCAAUUAUCAAAUUUCAACUGCACAGUUCAAAUUGUCUCUGCCUCGCAGUAUUUUUCAAUCACAAUUUUACCUAUGUUUUUCUUGCAUAAAACCUUUCGAAAUGUCUUUACUUGUCUUGUAAGUCAUUCAAAAGUGUCUCUGAAUCAUUACAUUGCUUUUUCCACAGUUUAUUUCAAAAUUUGCAAAGAAGUCAUACAGAAGGGUAUUUUGGUCAUUUCCCGCAGUGGGACCCAUUUUCAUCCUUGUGACUGUCUCUGAGUCUUUUCAAAUUCAUUUUUAACUUUCCAUCAGUAAACCUUGCUAAUUUCGUUUCAAACUUGCAUCUGAGUCAGUGUCGAGUUAAUUUGAUUCUGUUUAGGUCAUUUUUAGCCCUAGGGGCAUUUUGGUCAUUUCACAUAAAAUUUUGGCAUGGGGAGGUUACUUUGAAGUACCUCAUUUAGGCCAUUGGUUCGUUUUAGUCCGUUUUGUCAAUUUUAUUUUUUUGUUUCGCUUUACGUUUUGUCAGGUUACCAAUUUUAUUUCAAUUUUAUUUUAUUUUGCAUUUUGGUCCUCAAAGAGGUCCAAAAUUGCAUUUCAGUCCAGAAUUCUUUCUAUUUGCAUUUUUAGUCCUUUUUGUUAUUUCCAUUUUAGUCCUUUAAUUUUUCAAUUUUGCAGAAAAGGGCUCAAAGUGUCAAGCUCACGUUUUUUUUCAGUUAAAGUCCAGAUGUCACAAUUCUAUUGGUCCAAGAUCACACAUGUCAGCUAUAAAAGGUGUACAGUGCCACACAGACCCAUUAAUCACACGCCAACUCAUAAACACAAAAUCAAUUUUCUCUUUCUCAGCAAUUAGAUCAAAAACAGAAAAUCUCUCAGAAUUUCUCAAGAACACCAGGAACAAAAACCCUAACCGUUUUCCAGAAACCCUAAUUUUCAUCAGAAUCAACAUUUUUUGCAUCAAUCCUCAGAGAUUCGUGUGAAUCUUCAUCACCGGACUGAAGAUUUUCCUGCAAUUCCAAGUGCGAGCUCGCAUUGAAGCAAGCUCAAGCACUGAUCACAGGAUCUCCUCGCGUGGAUCUAAGAAACAUUGAAGCAAGCUCAAGCACGUAAUCACAGAGAAGCAGAGAAAGAGUCAGAGAAGAUGAAGAAUCUGGACCGGUGAAGCAAACAGAAUCAAAAAUCAUCAAGAACAGAAUCAAGAUUUCCAAAGAUUUCCUCCAUUAAAGGUUUCAACCAAAACCUUAGGUAAAACUCAUAAUCUUUUCUCAGAAAAUAAUAUCACUGUUAAACCUAAAAAUCACGCAAGCAAAACAGAUCCAAAAUUUCCAGAAUUCAAAGCCAAAACCGUAACCGUGAACACAAAACCUAGAUCCAUAAGGAUCUAAGUUUUGAAAGCAAAAACAAACAUCAAAGAGGUGUUAAACAACGAAAUGAUGUAGAUCUUCAAGGAUCUAAACGUUUUCUUUCAAAAAAUCAAAAUCAAAUUCAAAGCCGUACGACAAAUUUCCAGAUCUACAUCGUUUCGAAUUGAAUUUGAAAAAACAAUUGCUGGAUUCGUGUUUAGGGUUAAAGGACGAAUUGAUUGAUGAAGAAAUUUUGAAAUUCUGGAAAUUUUAGGUCACCGGAGUUCUUGAACUCGCCGGAGAAGAUGAAGUUUCCGGCGGACCUUCAAGGUCUCCGCCGUAGCUUCAUCCUCGCCGGCGGCGAGGUUAGUGAGAGGUGAGAGAAGAGAGAGGAACUUAGAGAGAGAAAGGGGAGUGAAAAGUGAAGAAAACCGGAACCUCUUCCCUUAUAUAAGCUAGUGAACCAGACCGGUUCAAGACCGGUCCAAUCCUGUUGAUUCCAGGCCGUUUGAUCUAGGGUUUCAGGAUCCUGGAUCAAUCCUGUGGCUCCUGUGAAUCCGGUUCUUUAGGGUUUUGGGUUGGGCCUUUGGUUUCUUUGGAUCUUUACGUUUUGCUAUUUCUGUGCUAUUCACACCCCUAUUUUUUGCUGCCUGCACCUAUGUCUUGAUUAAAAUUGUGAUAAAAUUCCUAGAAAAAUUCAUACAUGUUUCUUGAUAUUUUCUUAGUGUUUUUAUGACAUUUUUGCACAUUAAGGAUCUAUGAAAAUUUUGUAUAAUCAAUUCAUAGCAUUUUAAUUCUCUUUGAAUUAUUUGUUAUGGAUUCUUCUUCACACAUUUGUCCUUGAUGUGAGAAUAUGUAAUAAAAGCUACUUGAUGUGUUAAUAUGAGAGAUUUGUGCCUAUAAUUUCAUGUUGAUUUGCUGUUUUGAUUUGGUUUAUGAGUUCUUGUUUUUAUGAACAAUAUAUCCAUAUUUUGAAAGAUAUAAAAUGCCAAGUUUACUCUAGAAAAUAUGGCAUGAAAUCAUGCUUGCAUGUUUCCAAUAAUUCCAUGCUAUAACUUGAGAUAAAGAAAACUCUUUCAAAAUUUGUUAAAGCAUGAGAAUUAGAGGCCAAGAAUGCUUUAGGUUUCAUACCUAAGUUUUUAGGGUUUAAUGUCAUUUUGUUAACUUUUUGUGCCAUCUUGCAUGCUUUUAUUUCUUAGUACUUGUUAUGUUUUUUCUUUUCACUAACAAGUUUAUUUCCAUGUUUCAUGCAUCCUGUUAUCAUGGUUUUUGGGUGCCAAGCCAUUAAUUGGACUUGUACCUUUCGACCGUUGAUAUCUCUAUUUUUUCUUGGGAAGGGCAAAAUUGAGAAAAAACCCUUAGAUUCUAAGUUCGGGGGUCGGUUUUACUACGGGAAGGUGUUAGGCACCCGGAGUAACUAUAGUCCUCUAUAGGAGCCGUUUUCCUAAGUCUAUAUUCACGCUUAUUUUUACUUACUUUUGAAGAUGGGAGGUUUAUUUAGUUAAGAAUGAGGGGAGAGAAGUUGUAAGACUUUUUAAUUUUAUUUCGGCUUGGAUGAGUUUUGACUCAUUGCCUACGUACCGUUUUACGGGAUCAAAACCGGCGUAGUUCUUGCUAAAAAAAAGACUUGUUUUUCUUUUGUUUUAAUUGUUUGAUUUUAAGUUUUAAAAAAAGGUUUUGAAGAAGGAGAUUGGGAGGCUUCAUGAGCAUUAGAUUUAGCAAAAAAGGUGAGGUUUGAUUAGUGAUUUAGAAAGAAAGUCUAAAUGAUUAAGAUGAAUUGAAUUUUUCUUAAGAAAAAAGAGAAAGGAAAAAAAAAAUGAAGUGUUGACUUCAUACUUAUUAUGAAAAUUUUUGAAGUGAAGUUCAAUUGCUUUUUUUGAAAAAAAGAUGGAUUUUCCCUAAGUGUUCAAACCUAAGCGCUUAUCUAACCAUACAAUCCUAUGCAUACAUCUAAGGUGAGUGUGUGCGUGUCGGUGCGUCAUAGUGUCCAUAGUCCAUAUUACAAAAAUUGCCUAAAUACAUUCUAUGGCCCCUUUGCCAAGCUACAAACCAAUGAUAACAAAUUACAUUACCAAAUGAAUUAAAACUUGCAAAAAAAACAAAUGCUAGGCUAAAAAGUGGAGGGAAUGCUGAGUUUUUAUGGAGAUUCUGUUAGGUUUCUUCGGAAACACUUGGAUUUGGCUUUUGCUUGUUGAUUUCUGGCUUUGAACCGAAAAUAAAUCGGUGAUUCUUCUUUUCUCACUGAUUCCGUUUCUUCAUCUUCUUCGCCGGCUUAAAACCUUGCUUCUUUCCCUUUUCUUCUCCUUUUUCAACGCCUCUGUGAUCGGUGUUGGAGUUCUUCGCCACUGGGGAAGAAUUCUCACCUUGAAUUGCAGAGGGAUCAACUCAGUGAUGAAGAUUCGCCAUUGAAUCUCUGAGAGUUUGAUGCAAAAAUCAAUGAAUUUGUGUAUGAAUUUUGGUUCUGGAAAUUUCUAGGGUUCUUGUGUUCUUGAUGAACUUGAUGAUUUUUCUGUUUCUGAUCUAACUGAAUGGAGAGAGAAAGUCUCAUUGUGUUUGUUGAGUUGGCGUGUGAUUAAUGGCUUUGAAUCUGACUCACUGUUUAUAUAGUUGACAUGUGUACACUUGAGCCAAUGAAAUUGUGACACGUACCCUGGACUUGCUCACUUGGGCGCUGCUUGCUAUUUUAAGGACCAAUCUGCAAAUUGUGAAAAUGACAAGGACUGGACUGCAAAAUUAAAAAAAACUUGAAAUGAAAUAAAUAAUAAAAAAACAGUUUGGACAAAAAUGCAAUUUUGGGACCUCAAUUGAGGGACCAAAAUGCAAUACAAAAUAAAAUUUGAAUAAAAAACGUAAUUUGACCAAACGUAAAGUGAAACAAAAAUAAAAUUGACAAAACGGACUAAAACGAACCAAUGGCCUAAAUGAGGUACUUCAAAGUAACCUCCCCAUGCCAAAAUUUCAUGUGAAAUGACCAAAAUGCCCCUAGGGCUAAAAAUGACCUAAACUGACUCAAACAGACUUGACACUGACUCAGAUGCAAGUUUGAAAUGAAUUUAAACAGGGUUUACUGACGAAAUGUCAAAAAAUGAAUUUGAAAAGACUCGGAGAUAGUCACAAGGAUGAAGAUGGGUCCCACUGCAGGAAAUGACCAAAAUACCCUUCUGUAUGACCUUUUGCAAAUUUUGAAAUAAACUGUAGAAAAAGCAAUGUAAUGAUUCAGAGGCACUUUUGAAUGACUUACAAGACAAGUAAAGACAUUUUGAAAGGUUUUAUGCAAGAAAAACAUAGGUAAAAUUGUGAUUGAAAAUACUGCGAAGCAGAGACAAUUUGAACUGUGCAGUUGAAAUUUGAUAAUUGACAAAGUUUGAAAUGAAAUUGGGCCCAGUAUUUUUAGGUCCAAAAACAGGGUAUAACAGCUGCCCCUAUUUAAGUUUCUUUGUCUGGAGAGUCAAGAGACGGAGUCUUUGGCUUGACAGGACGAAGAUACUUAAAUAUUAGCAUUUGCACUGUGUUUGGACGUAAAAAUACGCCUACCUAUUUUCAAAUAAUAUGCAUGCCAUGCGUCAUUUGGACUAUGAAUGCAAGACCUCAGGGGGAUUGGAAUUAACAAAAUAUGUCGUAUCCAUUGCGGGAUUGGUAGACAUUGACAAAGAUAGUGAAUAGCAGAGUAACGGGAAACUAGAAACAAGUUGGACAGGUACAAGCUGUUCUUGGAUUCAAACUAGCCACUUGACCGGGGAUGAAACAAACAGACAACUGCGAGUUGUUCUUAUGGAUUCGAACUGGUCACUUCACAGGGGAUAGAGGUUACUGGACAAACAUGAGUUGUUCUUAUGAAUUCGAACUGAUAACUCACUUGGGGAUGUUGGAAAGUGCGAGUUGUUCUUAUGGAUUCGAACUGGUGACCCGACUGGGGAAAUUGACAAGUACGAGUUGUUCUUAUGGAUUCGAACUGGUCACUCGACCGAAAGCAAAGGCAAAUAAACAGGUGUGAGCUUGUUCUUGGAUGCGAACUGGUUACUCCACCGGACAGAAAUAGAUAGACAGGUACAAGCUGCUCUUGGAUUGAGCUAGCCACUUGACCAAACGGAAACAUAUUGACAGGUACGAGCUGCUCUUGGAUUGAGCUGGACACUCGACCGAUAACAUAAGCAAAUUGAUAGGUACAAGCUGUUCUUGGACUUGAACUAGCCACUUGACCAAACAGAAACAUAUUCACUGGGGAUUGAGUUUUGUUUGACGAAAUAUAGAUUGAGAUUGACUUGGCGUCGAUUUGGUUUGAAAGGUAGAAAUUGAUUGAUAUUAUUGGAUCACAAGGCUUUGACAGAGAACCUGACAUGAGUAUUGAAUUGAGACUGAUGUUGACAUUGGAAAUGCAAUAUGCAUGGAUGAUAUAACAGUUCCAUUAAAUGCAUGGGCACGUAAUAUGCAUGAUUAUGCAUGUAUGAAUGCUUGUAAUGCAUGACUGUUGGCAUUUUGUAGGCACGACUUCACGGGGAAGACAAGACAUCAGAGUAUUGGGCACGUAGUGGCUCGUGCUAUAUUACACAUUCUUGGAAAUCCUCUUUGGAGAUGACGUCGUUGGGAGACGUAUCGGAACCAUGGCUGAGGGCAGGUAGCUAUGCAACUUGCUGGGGAUAGAAUCUCGAGAGACUUUACUGGGGAUAAUGCCGUUGUGCUGGGCAUGUUGUGGACAUCGCAUCUGUGGUCAAUGCUUUUUGCAUGCUAUUUUCUCAUUCUCAUUUUUCGCAUCCCAUUUUUGCCUGGAUCGCCCUUUCGGGUUUUCGAUCCACCGGGGAAAUAGAUUCUUUUCAAUGCCCCAUUUUUGCCUGAACUGCCCUUUCGGGUUGUCAAUCCAGCGGGGUGCUCAUUUUUGCCUAAGCCGCCCUUCCGGGUUUUCAACUUAGCGAGCCUUUUCAUUUUCAUGCAUUUUCAUUCUGUUUUUUCAUUCUUGCCAUUGACCACAGAUUAUCUUGGAGGAGAACCUGCUUGUAACAUAUAUUGAAAUAGACAUUAACAUACUCUCGCUCAUGCAUGUUUCAUUUGAACGUACCCUGUUGCUCAGGUUUGCUUUUCAAAACAGACAAAAAGUUUUCAAUUUUCAAAAUGUUUGUUUCAAGCAUUGUCAUUAUCAAAAUAGAAAGAAAAUGUUUUGUAUAUAGCUUUGAAAGUAAAAAGAAAAAUAGAGUUUCAAACAACAGCACAAGCUCAAUUUGAUGUAUAAGAGUGGUGGUCAGCCGAAGGCAUGACUCCACGGAUUCACAAAGCUUGGAAAAUGGUAAUUUUUAUUGGUUGGUGGUACAUUGAACACGGUAACCACUACAGUUCUUAGAAACUUUGAAUUCACAAGUACAGAAGCUUUUGAUGAAGAUAGGCAUUAACAGCUGCAGAUGCCCCAAGGGGGACGGUGGUUGGCCAGAUAUAGUUACUUGCCUUUUGUUUCAAUCUCAUUUUUGCAUGAACCGCCCUUCCGGGUUUUCGGCUCAUCGAGACGCUCAUUCUUGCCUGAGUUGCGUACAAUCUCAGCGAGCUUUUCAUAUUUGUUUUUUUUUUUUUUUUUUUUUGUCCCUUAUUUUUGCCUGGACCGCCCUUUCGGGUUUUCGAUCCAUCGGGAAGCGCAUUUUUGCCUAGGCCGCCCUUUCGGGUUUUCGACCUACCACGCUGUUCUUUUCACAUUUCUAGGCAAAGUAUUUCUUGACUAUAUCGGCAUUCACUGGAUUUGGAAGCUCUACACCAUCCAUGUGUGUAAGGAUUAAAGCACCACCGGAGAAGGCCUUCUUGACAACAUAAGGACCUUCAUAGUUAGGCGUCCACUUGCCCCUUGGGUCGGGUUGCUGGCUUAUCCUCCUUUUCAAUACAAGUUCCCCUACCUUGAAUUCUCGAGGAUGGACUUUCUUGUCAAAAGCAGUCUUCAUUCUUGCUUGAUAUGACUGUCCACGAGCCAUGGCAUCCAUACGUUUUCCCUCAAUCAAAUUCAACUGAUCAUACCGGCUUUGGCACCAUUCAGCCUCAGAUAACUUUGCUUCCAUUAUCACACGGAGAGAUGGGAUCUCCACUUCCAAAGGAAGAACUGCUUCCAUACCAUAUACAAGAGAGAAAGGGGUUGCCCCGGUUGAACUGCGCACGGUAGUGCGGUAGCCAUGCAGAGCAUAGGGUAACAUCUCAUGCCAGUCCUUGUAAGUGGUUACCAUCUUCUGGACAAUUCUCUUGAUAUUCUUAUUGGCGGCCUCAACUGCACCAUUCAUCUGAGGUCUAUAGGGAGAAGAGUUAUGAUGCUCAAUUUUGAAUUCUUCACAAAGAACUUGCACCACAUUAUUGUUCAGGUUGGUACCAUUGUCGGUAAUAAUCUUGCUGGGAACACCAUAUCGACAGAUGAUGUUGUUCUUGAUGAACUUAGCUACCACUUGCUUGGUCACAUUGGUAUAAGAUGCUGCUUCAACCCAUUUGGUAAAGUAGUCAAUUGCCACUAAGAUGAAACGAUGACCAUUUGAAGCCUUCGGUUCAAUUCUUCCAAUCAUGUCGAUGCCCCACAUCGAGAACGGCCAUGGGGAUGACAUAACAUUGAGAGCGUGCGGAGGCACAUGAAUCUUAUCAGCAUAGAUUUGACAUUUGUGGCAUUUUCUGGCGUACUGGUAGCAAUCAUGCUCCAUAGUCAUCCAGUAGUAACCUGCCCGUAGCAACUUUCUUGACAUAGUAUGCCCUGUAGCAUGGGUCCCGAAGGUACCGUCAUGUACAUCAUGCAUUAACUGCUCUGCCUCAUGUUCAUCAACACAUCUUAACAAUACCAUGUCAUAGUUUCUCUUGUACAGAAUAUCUCCAUCUAACAGGAAUCUACUGGCCAAUCUUCUCAAGGUCUUCUUGUCUUGUUUGGAAGCACCCGGCGGAUACUCACGGCUCAGCAAGAACCGUUUGAUGUCGUAGUACCAGGGUUUAUAGUCAACCACAUUUUCGCCAGCCUGAUCGAUCACAUCCCCAAUAGCAAACACAUGGGAAGGUCUUUCAAGGCGUUGCACUUUGAUUACUGGCACAUCAUUCCAAUGGUUUACUCGGAACAUGGAAGAUAGAGUAGCAAGAGCAUCCGCCAUUUGGUUCUCAUCACGAGGAAUAUGAUGCAGCUCAACCUUUGUAAAAUAUGUCAGAAGACGUCUCGCAUAAUCACGAUAAGGAAUCAACUUAGCAUGGUGGGUCUCCCAUUCACCCUUUAUCUGAUUGAUGACGAGCGCAGAAUCUCCAUAGAUGUCGAGGUGUUUGAUUCUCAUGUCAAUUGCUUCCUCGAUCCCGAAGAUACAUGCUUCAUACUCAGCCAUGUUGUUGGUACAUUCGAACAGAAUUCGGGCGGUAAAGGGAAUGUGAUGCCCUUGCGGGGAUACAAUGACUGCCCCAAUUCCUUUGCCAUAAGCAUUGACAGCACCAUCAAAGACUAAACCCCACUUGCUAUUGGGAUCUGGACCUUCAUUAAUCAACGGUUCGUCGCAGUCUUUGGAUUUCAAAUACAUGAUCUCUUCAUCAGGGAAAUCGAAUUCAAUUGGUUGGUAAUCAUCAAGAGGUUGAUAAGCAAGGUGAUUGGCAAGAAUGCUGCCUUUGAUUGCCUUUUGAGUUUUGAACACAAUAUCAUAUUCAGACAAAAGCAUCUGCCAGCGUGCGAUCUUCCCAGUAACGGCCGCUUUCUCAAAGAUAUACUUUAUCGGAUCCAUUCUGGAUAUCAACCAAGUUGUAUGAUUCACCAAAUAAUGGCGCAGGCGUUUGGCAGCCCAAGCUAAAGCACAACAAGUCUUUUCAAGCAUUGUAUAUCGAGUUUCACAAUCGGUGAACUUCUUACUUAGAUAGUAGAUAGCAUGCUCUUUCUUUCCGGUUUCAUCUUGUUGACCAAGUACACAUCCCAUGGAUUCAUCAAAUACUGCCAAAUACAUAAUCAAAGGCCUUCCUUCCACGGGUGGGACAAGGAUAGGUGGUUCCAGCAGGUAAUUCUUGAUGCUAUCAAAAGCUUCUUGGCAUUCAUCAUUCCAUACAACAGGCUGGUUCUUUCUAAGUAGCUUGAAAAUCGGCCCGCAGGUUGCAGUCAUGUGAGAUAUGAAUCGGGAGAUGUAAUUCAAACGUCCCAAGAAACCUCUGACUUGCUUCUCUGUCUGUGGAGCUGGCAUUUCUCGGAUGGCCCGGACUUUAUCAGGAUCGACUUCAAUGCCCUUUUGGCUGACAAUGAAGCCUAAUAACUUUCCGGACCUGACACUGAAUGUACAUUUGUUGGGAUUCAAUCGCAGCUUGUAUUUUCUCAACCUUUCAAACAUCUUUGUUAAAUAUUCAACAUGCUGCUCCUCAUCUGCUGACUUCACAAUCAUGUCAUCCACAUAUACCUCAACUUCUUUGUGAAUCAUGUCAUGAAACAGAGUGGUCAUUCCCCUUUGGUAGGUAGCACCGGCAUUGAUUAGGCCGAACGGCAUCACUUUGUAACAGAAAGUACCCCAUGGAGUGAUAAAAGAUGUCUUUUCUCUAUCUUCAGGGGACAUUUUGAUCUGAUUGUAACCGGAGAAACCGUCCAUGAAGGAGAACACCUUAGAUUGAGCAGUAUUAUCAACAAUCACAUCAAUAUGAGGUAAUGGAAAGUUGUCUUUUGGACUGGCUUUGUUCAAGUCCCUGAAGUCAACACACAUCCGGACUUUACCAUCCUUCUUUGGCACAGGCACAAUAUUGGCAACCCAUUCGGGAUACUCAACUGUCAUGAGGAAACCCGCAUCGAUCUGCUUUUGAACUUCAUUCUUGAUCUUGAGGGCCAUGUCAGGAUGAGUCCUCCUCAAUUUCUGCCUGACGGGAGGACAUUCAGGCUUGGUAGGGAUCCGAUGCUCCACGAUCAUAGGGUCUAGACCUGGCAUAUCUUCAUAGGACCAUGCAAAAAUAUCCGGAUAUUCCCGGAGGAGUUGGAUGAUCUUCUGUUUAACCCCUUCCUCUAGAGUAGCACCAAUCUUGAUUUCUCGCUUGUUUUCCUCGGUACCUAUGUUGAUAAGCUCAAUCUCUUCUUGGUGAGGCUGAAUGGCUUUCUUUUCUUGCUCAAGUAACCGAGUGAUCUCAUACGGUAUGUCAUCACCUUCCUCAUCUUCGGCUUCAUAUACAGGGAAAUCAAAACUUGGAGGAACCGUAGGAUUACUGUGUUCAACGGGUUUAUUAUGGUUCAACCUGCAUAUAAUGAUUGGAUGAUUUUAGAAAGAGCUUUUUUUUUUCAUGCAGAUUUUUGAAACUAAUAAGAAAAUACAGACGUUUUGGUUUUUUCUGGCAUUACCAUUGUUUCCAAGGGAAAAAGCACUAAAAGAAAAGUAGUCGUGGAAGAAACGACAAAAUUUUAUUAACCAACGGCAAUGCCGAAACAAACAUGCCCUUACAGAAAAUAUCACUCUCGCUUUGGGCAGAGCGAGAGGAUUGUUAUUUUGAAAACAAAGCACUAAAGCAACAAGACACAUUACUCAGAAACAUGCAUGAUUGAAGGAAUGUCAAUGGCAUCCCAAUUCGUCGCAAUGCCUCCUGGUGUAACAAAUACAGGCCUGAGACCAGAUCCAGUGGCUUCUUCAGAGAUAACAUUAACAAACCCUGCACUGUGGAAGACUCCUGAGGAAACCCUUGACGAUGGAGAGAACCCGAGACCUUCUUUACGCUUGUUCUCACAGAGCUGUAUCACCUUGCCCCAGCCGGCAGUCUGACCUUCUUGGAUGGCUCUCUGAGCAUCUUUCAAUGAAGCCAUAGCAGCCCCAGCUUCCUUAGACUCUGCACCUUCGAUGGUCAAACCUUGGAAAGCAGUCCCUUCAGCAGACCCUGCUUCAACACAAGAAAAAGAAGACAACUGGCUGACUAAGUAUGCUUCUUCACCAUGGAUUGUAACGAGUUUUCCAUUCUUCACAAAUUUCAACUUCUGAUGUAAGGUGGAAGUAACCGCACCUGCAUCGUGUAUCCACGGUCUUCCCAGCAGGCAACUGUAGGAUGCAUUAAUGUCCAUCACUUGGAAGGUAACCAAGAAAUUCUCAGGGCCAAUAGUUAUCGGCAAGUCUAUCUCCCCCAGCACAUUCUUUCGAGAUCCGUCAAAAGCUUUGACCAAGAAAGUACUUCUCCUCAACGGGGUCCCACGGUAGCUCAACUGAUCUAGAGUUGUCUUGGGCAUUACAUUGAGAGAGGAACCGGUAUCUACCAACACAUUUGAUAUCAUGUCUGAUUUACAAUUCACCGAGAUGUGCAAAGCCAGAUUGUGACUCCUUCCCACUUCCGGCAACUCUUCUUCACUAAACCAGAGGUUGUUACAAGCAGUAAUAUUUCCCACUAUACCACCGAAACGAUCUACCGAGACUUCGUGGUCAACAUAUGCCUGCUCCAGCACUUUCAACAAGGUGUUCCUGUGAGCCUCAGAGCUCAAGAGUAGCGACAAGACAGAUAUCUUCGAAGGAGUUUGCAGCAAUUGAUCAACGAUCUUGUAGUCGCUCCUCUUUAUUAUUCUCAGAAUCUCGUCUAAAUUUGAAUCCUCUAUAGAUUUGCCUGGCUGAUUCACAUCUGUAGCAAUGGGUGAAACAACGGUUGGAGUUGCUUCUUUAACUGGUGGAGUAAUUGGCGUAGCUACCUUCUUCUGAAAUAACGGCGGACGAACCUUCCCGCUUCUCAGCGCUGCAGAAGUCCCUUCGGCAAUAUUGCUUACUGUGGCAAAGGAGGCUAGAGGCACCUCUACUCCAUUUUCUAUCAUAGUGGCAUUGUACUUGUAUGGCACUGCCUUGUCCGAAGCAUAAGGAAUUGGUCCUGGCAACCUUAUUACCAAAGGCUCAGCAUUCUUCUUCAAAGGUACACUCUUGACAGGCGGAUCGUGAAAAACCGGCACAACCACGCAAACAUCACUGACAGUCAGAAGAUUAUCAUUCAUCAAGCUUUGGAUGUCGUCUUGAACAGUAUAGCAGCCCAAAGGAUCACAGAGGCAUCCUAGACACUUGGCAUGAUCAUGGCUGAACAGAGAAGCUUUGCACAGCUUGAUGUGCAGAGGCACCAGAGGAGUAGCAACAUUGCGGACAUCAAGUCUAGGAGCUUCCUCACACACUUCGAUCAUAUUCACAGCGGCAUGAUUUGGUAGUGGAUUGUCAAGGACAUGUGGAACAUUGUUCUCAAAAGUCAGCUUUCCCUGAUCAAUGAGCUUCUUCACGAUAUACUUCAAAGCAUAACACCCCUCGACAUCAUGACCUAAAGCACCUUGAUGAAAGUCACAUUUGAGAUCAGACCUGAACCUUGGAGGCAACGGAUCAGGUGGGGGCUUACCCUGUCUAGUUGUACAAUGUCCUCUCUGGAGUAGAGUUGGAAGCAACUCAGCAUACAACAUUGGUAUAGGAGGAAAAGUUGGCCUAGUAUACUGCUGCUGCUGCUGUUGUUGUUGUUGUUGAACCGGCAACUGUUGUUUCAUCUGUUGGGCAAUUGCAUUGACGGGCACUUGAGGCUGGCCCGGUGGCAAAGGGUACUGAUGAUAAAACGGUGGGAAGAACGGAUGCUGAGAAUACGGCAUAUAUGGGUAUGACGGAGGCAUUUGAGCUGCAUUGAUAGGAGCAACGGUAGCCAUAGAUUGACCGGCUGCAGCUGACACCAUUCCCACUUCCGUUUCUUUCUUCUUGUGGUGUCCAUUACCAUACCUCUUCGAUGCACUCGUAGAAGAUUCAGCUUUCUCAAACACAAUGAUCCCAUCUCUGACUGCUUCCUCAAGACGGGUUCCCAUGGUGACCAUCUCCGAAAAGUUGUUCGGGGCAGCAAUGAUCAUUCUCUCAACAUAAUCUUUCUUCAAGGUCUUUAAGAACGUCUGGGUCAUUUCUUCUUCAUCUAAAGCAGGAGUGAUACGGGCAGCUGCCCCUCUCCACCUUUGCGCAUAUUCACGGAAACUUUCCUCCUUUUUCUGAGAUAGGGACCUGAGAAACUCCCUAUUCGGCUUCAAACGAGUGUUAAACCCGUAGUGGCUCCUGAAAGCGGUGGCCAGCUCAUCAAAAGUAUGGACAUCGUCUUUGCUCAGACUAGUAUACCACUCCGCAGCAUCUUCCAUCAGACUGUCUUGGAAGUAAUGGAUCAUAAGGGAAUCAUUGUCCUUGUAGUUGCCCAUUUUCCGGACGUAUUUGACAAUAUGAUUUUGAGGACAAGUCAGCCCGUUAUACUUGUCGAACUCCGGGACUUUGAACUUUUUUGGAACAUCUACCUUCGAUACCAAGCAGAGGUCCUGGGUUUUAAUGGAGUCUCCAUUUCCCCUGUUGGCCUUAAUUUCCCGUCGGAGCUCUUUGGCAAGUUCUUCCAUUCUCUCUUCCAUAGUUCCGGUUGUGGUAAUACUCCCGUGGUGUGCGUUGGCAUGGACAAAUAGAGGCACCGCAUUCACAAUGGGCUCGGUAACAGUUGUUGCAGCUUGAGUCAAGGCGGUACUAAUAGGAGUUAAGUUUGCCCCUGGGAUUGGGCCACUGUUGGUAGUACCAGAGGUCCCUGCCCCUGUGUUAGCAGUAUAGUACAGCGGAAGUCCGUAAGGAUACCCGGAUGGCAUGAUAGAGCGGGGAUCAGUUGUUACAGUAGGAGUCACAUUUGCAGCUGUAGAAACUACAGGAACUGGUUGUUCCUGAGCAGCCAACAGAGCAGUCAUAGCAUCAUGAGCUUUGGCCAAUUCCUCCCUUAGAGAUGCCAAUUCGGUACGAAGCUGUGUGUUCUCUUCUUCCAUAGCCCUUUUCUUUCUUCUGUAUUCUCUGGUUCGAUCAAUUCUAUCAGGUUCGUAAACUCUCUGAGCACGAGCCACUUUUCACACUGCGGCAGAGAAACCAGGAGGUGGUAAGCACUUGGAAGCCUUUGUGACCAAUGCAUGAUGCAUAUGAUGCAUGAUGUGCAAAUGCAAAUGCAAAAGACUUAUUUUCUCAUCGAAGGAUUUUUAAACAAAUUAGAAAUCUUGCAAAUAAACAAAACUACAUAGUAUUCUCAACAGAAAGACUUUGAAAUAAACAUAUGAAGCCCUCAAGCAUAGGAAGCAGUCGGAAGAUCAUCGGACUCGGAAUCUGAAUCACAGUAUCUGGCAAAGAAGUCUCGUCGUCCUCUGGCUCUCUUGGAAUCCCUCAUAAGCAGCUCGUCUUUCUCUUCCAAUUCCCUCCGGGCCUUAGCUAGCUCUUUCUUCAACAUUAAAUUCUCAUGAGUCUUCUGCUCAUCUCUACCAUCCAAAGUCAUGAUUAGAUUCUCGGCUUGAUUAUACCGAGCUUUCCACACUUGCUUCUCACGACUCUCCAUAGCUAGAUGCUCCUGAUACAUAUCCUGAGUCGCGGGGAGUAGAGGUAGAGGCAUAGAUGGAGUAGACGAAGACACGUAUCUCAUAGCUGGAUAAGGCAUACCAAUCUCCUCAGCUCGAUCUAUCACCCACUGAGUAUAGGCCUCAUGAGCAACACCGGAUCUCACACCUAGAUGCUUCACACUCUUCCUUCGAACCUUGGACCAAGCAUCCAUGAAAGCUUUCCUUUGUCCGGUAGGAGCAUUCGCAUAGAAGAAGAACUCUGGAGAUGUAGCAAGAUUGAUGGGCUUCGACUUCAUAGGGAAACCAAACUGUCUCAUAGCAAGCUCGGGAUUGUAGUUAAUUCCUCCCCGAGUACCAAGAAGAGGUACAUUGAGAAAGUCUCCACAACCCAUAAUGAUUUCCUUCACUUGAGCGGCAGGAGUGAGCCAGACGACCUCAUUAGGAGUGAGGGCCAUAAUCCGCUGCGAGUAGGACCAGUUCUCCGAGUUAUCAUGGAAGGAACUCGGAAGGUGCGAAAUAAACCACCUAUACAAAAGAGAUGUGCAGCAAAGAAUAUACCCACGGCCCUUGAGAGUCCUGUCAUGAAUGGCGUGGUAAGUAUCCGCUAGCAAAGUAGGAACCGGGUUCUUGGAAUGAAAGAUCUCGAUAGCAUUCAUGUCCACGAAGUUGUCGAGGUUCGGAAAGAGAAUGAGCCCGUAGAUAAGCAAAGCAAGAAUAGCCUCAAGUGUAUCCUGACGAGUAGUACCGAGAUUAGCCUGAUCAAGAAGAUACUUCGAAGUAAACCCCCGGAUGUGAGACUUGGUAAUAAGAUGGUUGGAGACGUCGGAAGUCUUGAGGUAGAGAUCCUUAGCAAUAACCAGAGGAGUAAGAGGAGUCCCAGGACCGGUGAAAGGCGUCUUCUCGGCUAUAGGUAAACCCACUAGAUUGGAGUAAGCCUCAAGAGUAGGAACCAACUGGAAGUCCGGGAAAGUGAAGCAACGGAAGCUCGGAUCAUAAAAUUGCACCAGAGUGUGCACUAGCUUCUCGUCCACAUCGGUUCGGAGCAAAGUAAGCAAUCCCCCAUACCGGAGUCGGAACCCUGUUUGGCUCUUGACCUUGAGCGCCAACUCUCUCAAACUAACCAAAUCCACUUCCUUGAACUUGUAGCACUUAGUCUUCUUCAUACCUGUGAUUAUUUACAAAAAAUUUCCAUUUGUUUAAGUCCUUCGAUGAAUGCAUGAAAAAUGUUUAUGCAUGAAUGCAUGUAUGCAUGAUUGUGUUGUUUAGUUACAAUGUGGGUUGAGAUUCAAAGUAACAAGGCCACGGAUGGACACGGUGUCCGGUGAACUAAGGCUUUGGAUAGUAGUAACCAAGGUUCUAACACAGUUCCCAAACUGCAACCUCUCUCACAUAUAUCAUGGUAGUACAGGACGACACCCGUUCCAUGUUUAUUUGUGAGAAGGUCUAGCUUGAGUGUAGUAUCGCGUGACGACUAAAGUUUGAGACAACACUCAAUUUAGCCACCGCACUACGUCCUAAGAAGGCUAGGAUGGGUUUGGUAACUACGGUUCAUAGCUUCGUCGAACAAUUGAAAGUGAAGUGCCUAAGCAUGACAACACACGCCGACAAUACCACCUUCAAAAUGCCUCAGCUAUGUGAGAUUGAUCGCAUAAUCCAAUACACGAGGCAACCCCCGGAUCGAAUUGUCGAUUAUAUCUCUACCUAAACAUAAGUUCACUCAGCCCGGGUAUAGGACUUUUGAUAUUCUCACCCCACACGUCAAAUGAAAAUAAACAAGUAUUCACAUGUGUAGGCAAUAAAAUAAAGCAUAAAUAUACACUAAGGAAAACUAGGCGCGACCCGCUAAAAAGAAUUUCCCCAGUGAAGUCGCCAUUUCUGUUAUCAUGGUUUUUGGGUGCCAAGCCAUUAAUUGGACUUGUACCUUUCGACCGUUGAUAUCUCUAUUUUUUCUUGGGAAGGGCAAAAUUGAGAAAAAACCCUUAGAUUCUAAGUUCGGGGGUCGGUUUUACUACGGGAAGGUGUUAGGCACCCGGAGUAACUAUAGUCCUCUAUAGGAGCCGUUUUCCUAAGUCUAUAUUCACGCUUAUUUUUACUUACUUUUGAAGAUGGGAGGUUUAUUUAGUUAAGAAUGAGGGGAGAGAAGUUGUAAGACUUUUUAAUUUUAUUUCGGCUUGGAUGAGUUUUGACUCAUUGCCUACGUACCGUUUUACGGGAUCAAAACCGGCGUAGUUCUUGCUAAAAAAAAGACUUGUUUUUCUUUUGUUUUAAUUGUUUGAUUUUAAGUUUUAAAAAAAGGUUUUGAAGAAGGAGAUUGGGAGGCUUCAUGAGCAUUAGAUUUAGCAAAAAAGGUGAGGUUUGAUUAGUGAUUUAGAAAGAAAGUCUAAAUGAUUAAGAUGAAUUGAAUUUUUCUUAAGAAAAAAGAGAAAGGAAAAAAAAAAUGAAGUGUUGACUUCAUACUUAUUAUGAAAAUUUUUGAAGUGAAGUUCAAUUGCUUUUUUUGAAAAAAAGAUGGAUUUUCCCUAAGUGUUCAAACCUAAGCGCUUAUCUAACCAUACAAUCCUAUGCAUACAUCUAAGGUGAGUGUGUGCGUGUCGGUGCGUCAUAGUGUCCAUAGUCCAUAUUACAAAAAUUGCCUAAAUACAUUCUAUGGCCCCUUUGCCAAGCUACAAACCAAUGAUAACAAAUUACAUUACCAAAUGAAUUAAAACUUGCAAAAAAAACAAAUGCUAGGCUAAAAAGUGGAGGGAAUGCUGAGUUUUUAUGGAGAUUCUGUUAGGUUUCUUCGGAAACACUUGGAUUUGGCUUUUGCUUGUUGAUUUCUGGCUUUGAACCGAAAAUAAAUCGGUGAUUCUUCUUUUCUCACUGAUUCCGUUUCUUCAUCUUCUUCGCCGGCUUAAAACCUUGCUUCUUUCCCUUUUCUUCUCCUUUUUCAACGCCUCUGUGAUCGGUGUUGGAGUUCUUCGCCACUGGGGAAGAAUUCUCACCUUGAAUUGCAGAGGGAUCAACUCAGUGAUGAAGAUUCGCCAUUGAAUCUCUGAGAGUUUGAUGCAAAAAUCAAUGAAUUUGUGUAUGAAUUUUGGUUCUGGAAAUUUCUAGGGUUCUUGUGUUCUUGAUGAACUUGAUGAUUUUUCUGUUUCUGAUCUAACUGAAUGGAGAGAGAAAGUCUCAUUGUGUUUGUUGAGUUGGCGUGUGAUUAAUGGCUUUGAAUCUGACUCACUGUUUAUAUAGUUGACAUGUGUACACUUGAGCCAAUGAAAUUGUGACACGUACCCUGGACUUGCUCACUUGGGCGCUGCUUGCUAUUUUAAGGACCAAUCUGCAAAUUGUGAAAAUGACAAGGACUGGACUGCAAAAUUAAAAAAAACUUGAAAUGAAAUAAAUAAUAAAAAAACAGUUUGGACAAAAAUGCAAUUUUGGGACCUCAAUUGAGGGACCAAAAUGCAAUACAAAAUAAAAUUUGAAUAAAAAACGUAAUUUGACCAAACGUAAAGUGAAACAAAAAUAAAAUUGACAAAACGGACUAAAACGAACCAAUGGCCUAAAUGAGGUACUUCAAAGUAACCUCCCCAUGCCAAAAUUUCAUGUGAAAUGACCAAAAUGCCCCUAGGGCUAAAAAUGACCUAAACUGACUCAAACAGACUUGACACUGACUUAGAUGCAAGUUUGAAAUGAAUUUAAACAGGGUUUACUGACGAAAUGUCAAAAAAUGAAUUUGAAAAGACUCGGAGAUAGUCACAAGGAUAAAGAUGGGUCCCACUGCAGGAAAUGACCAAAAUACCCUUCUGUAUGACCUUUUGCAAAUUUUGAAAUAAACUGUAGAAAAAGCAAUGUAAUGAUUCAGAGGCACUUUUGAAUGACUUACAAGACAAGUAAAGACAUUUUGAAAGGUUUUAUGCAAGAAAAACAUAGGUAAAAUUGUGAUUGAAAAUACUGCGAAGCAGAGACAAUUUGAACUGUGCAGUUGAAAUUUGAUAAUUGACAAAGUUUAAAAUGAAAUUGGGCCCAGUAUUUUUAGGUCCAAAAACAGGGUAUAACACAUCCCAUUUAGCAUUCCCUCCACUUUCUUUAGCCUAGCCUUUAUCUUUUGCAAGUUUUAAUUCAUUUGGUAAUGUAAUUUGUUAUCAUUGGUUUGUAGCUUGGCAAAGGGGCCAUAGAAUGUAUUUAGGCAAUUUUUGUAAUAUGGACUAUGGACACUAUGAUGCACCGACACGCACACACUCACCUUAGAUGUAUGCAUAGGAUUGUAUGGUUAAAUAAGCGUUUAGGUUUUAAACACUUAGAGAAAAUCCAUCUUUUUUUCAAAAAAAAAUAAUUGAACUUCACUUCAAAAACUUUCCUAAUAAGUAUGAAGUCAACACUUCAUUUUUUUCCUUUCUUUUUUUCUUAAGAAAAAUUCAAUUCAUCUUAAUCAUUUAGACUUUCUUUCUAAUCACUAAUCAAACCUCACUUUUUGCUAAAUCUAAUGCUCAUGAAGCCUCCCAAUCUCCUUCUUCAAAACCUUUUUUCUCAAAACUUAAAAUUAAACAAUUAGAACAAAAAACAAGUCUUUUUAGCAAGAACUACGCCGGUUUUGAUCCCGUAAAACGGUACGUAGGCAAUGAGUCAAAACUCAUCCAAGCCGAAAUAAAAUCCAAUUCUACUUCUUCUCACCCCCAUUCUUCACUAAUCAUACUUUCUUUUUUACAAAUAAGCAAUAAAACUAAAGCGUAGAAAUAAACUUAGGAAAGCGGUUCUUAUGGAGUACCAUAAUCGCUCCGGGUGCCUAACACCUUCCCGUAGCGAAAACGACCCCCGAACUUAGAAUCUAAGGGUUUUUCUCAAUUUUGCCCUUCCCAAGAAAAAAUAGAGAAUAUCAACGGUCAAAAGGUUCAAGUCCAAUUAAUGGCUUGGCACCCAAAAACCAUGAUAACAAUAAGAAACUGAAAUAGUGUAUUUUGUUUAUAACCCUCCGUCCCAUAAAAACCGAGCCAUUUGCAAAAAAAUAUUGUCUCAGAAAAAUUGACUCAUUUCACUUUUCAAUACAAUAUUAAUUACUUUUUUUUUCCUUUCAAUUAUAACACUAAUUAAUAUUACUUUCACCACUCCCAAUUUAAUAUAUUCUAAUUUGCAUUUAUGAUAAAGAAGAAUGCACCAAUAGUUACUCAAAACCAUUUUUCUCUCUCUUUUUACUUAUACAUAUUUUCUUAAUAAGUGUGAAAUGAGCUAAGAGCUGAGCUCGAGCUCAGUUAAAAUGGGACGGAGGAGGAAUGUAAUUCAAAGUAACUCAAUUUUAUGCUAUUUAUUUAUUUAUGCUGAAGCCUCAUUAUAAUAGUAUAUAGUGAUAUGUGUGAGAAGCAUAGGAAAAGUACAUAUGGUGAUGAAUGAUGGAACAAGCUUAAAGUCAUAAUUAUUAUUGUUCAAUCAUAAAUAGAUGGUCCCCCAAUUAGAAAAGUAUUUAUGAUCCCCCAUUUUAAAAUGACCCUCGUCCUUUUUUAGAAUUUUAAUCUUAAUAAUGGUGAUAUAUCAUAAUUAAAUGGAUGCAUUUAGGAAGUUUAUAAAUAAUUUUAUAGGUAUUGAUGAUUUUACAUUAUCGGAUCGUAUGACACAUCAUUUAAAAUAUGUCAUGUUAUAGUUUUUUAGUUUAAAAAUAUGAAGAAAAAGAUAUGUCACGUCAGUACUUUUGAGUCCAAAAAUAUAAAAAUAGGCCAAAACGAAUUAUUCUAAAAUUUGGGACAAAUUUCAUGAAAAUAAAGACCUAGAGUGUAGUUAAGACUUAUAACUAUUUUAAACAUUCCUUAAAAAAACUAAUCUAUAAAAUGACAUACGAUUAAUUAUAAAUAUGAUUGACAUAUACUCUAAAAAAGGAAAUGUUUGCAUAUGGUAUUUUAAACACCGUUCUCGUGAACUUAACUCAAUUGAUACGGACAAUGCUUAAUAUGUGCAAGGUCUAGGGUUUUAACCUUGAUCACAAAAAAAACACCAAUAUUUUUUUUCGGGGAUAUUAAACACCAAUAUUCUUUGGAUACUUCUACCCUAAUAUCCAUUACUAAAGUAUUUUAAAUUAUUUAUUUAAUUUUUGUGUGGCUUUUGAUGGUCUAAUCCUAAUUUGUAGAGCAACAUGCAAAUAAUUGGACUAUAAAAGUUACGUGCACAAUUUUUCAUCAAGAAUUUUUUGGCAGCACGCAUUGAAAAUUUGUGUCUCAUUAAGAAUUUGUUAGCACUACGCAUGCAUAUUCUUUUGGGCCUGUCAUCCUGUGUAUUUUCAUUUUCAACAGUAAUUUGUCGGCACUACUAAGCAUCUAUAUCUAUCUUUGUUUUGAAACAGCAAAACUUAUAAAAAAAUCCACUCUUUAGACAAAAACGAACAAAUACCGACAAUUCAAAAACUACAAAAUAAAACGUCAUAUGUAGGCAGAACACAAAAAAAACACCAUAACAUAUCUCACCUCACCAAACAAAAACCUACGUUCAACCGCCAUAAGAAAACAAUCACCAAACCCAACUUCAUCACUCAAACCAAACUCCAUCGCAAACGACCACUGAAAACAAAAUCCAUAAACAUCCAUCGUCCGCUACUCACCCCAAUACCUCCAAAAACCAUCUUAAACAUCAUCAUCUUCUCAUCACCAUAACCUAGCCCAAUUUAACACCCGAAAAGUCCUAUUCCAACUCUCCUUCGGGUUCUACCACCCCUCAUCCCCUGGUCCACCAAAGAAAACAUCAUAAAUAUCCCAAAAUAAACUUGACUCACCGUAUAUUUAUAUCUAUAUCUAUAUCUAUAUCUAUCUAUAUAUCAAUUAAUUCAGGCUCUCAAGUUAUAUCUAUUAAUUUAGGCUCUCAAGUUAACCUCUUCACAACUCACCAUGUUAUAUAUAUCAUAUAGUCUAAUUUUGGCCACAUCAAAUAAAUUCUAAUGUGACAUCUUCCAAAACACACCAUUCCUUAUUCUCUCGUUGCCUUGCUUCAUAAUUUAUGUAUUAUUACAUCUCAUUCCCUUACGAAUUCACAAUUAAAUGACGUUUACUACAUGUCAUAACUCUCAUGUAAUAACGUCAAAUAAGAUGCAUGACCUUAAAUGUCAAAUCAUUAUUAUUAUUAUUAUGAGAGAAGAAGUGAAUGAAUAAUAUUCUCAUUAUUGAUCAAAUGAUAGAGGUUACAACUUAUAUAGUCAUGGUCUAGGAAUACAGUAAUACAAUAGUGGUAACAUCGAAUAUAAAAACUAAGAUAGCUAACUCUACUUGAUAAUAACUCUCAUGUAAUGUCAAAUAAGGUGCAUAACCUUACAUGUCAAAUCAUUAUCAAAUUUAUUACGAAAUUAAUCAAGAACCAAACCUUGAUCCAACAUGGAACUCAAUCAACAAUCAACCCACUUAUUUUGUCGUUAACAUGUUUGUAUGUUUUUUUCUUUUGUUCUCUUUGUAUCAUUUGAUUAUUACUUUAUUGUUUAGAUUCUUUAGAUUGAAUGUGUUUUUUCCUUCAUCUCCUAUGCAAUUAAUAUAUGGACAUGUUUUAAUUCGGUAAUAACGGUGUGCUCAUCAAAUUGGCAAAAUGUUUCCACAUAAAAAAAAAUAAAAAAAUAAAAAAUGUAGCGGUUCAUGUCUAAUAUGAAUCCGGUUAAUAAAAUAAUAUUUUUUUCUCUCCAAUUUUUGCUAAACAUAGGACACCAUUGUUAUUUUUUGCAUGUUAUUUUUUAAGCGACACGUUUUAUAGAUUUUUUUUAGGGAACAUUGUAUGGAAUUUUAGGAAAUGGAUCUCGCCAACUUAAUUUUUUUGUCAGGUUGUCUAGUGGUUCGAGUUCACACAUAUUAGAGAUAUAUAGUUUAGUUACAAGUAGUACUAGUCCUGGUAGUAUAUAUAGUUGUAACCACCUCAUAAGUGGGAUACUUUUCACUCAUUAGUAAUAUUUCAUUUCUAUCAAUACAAAGAGUUUGUUAGAUUUUGCUCCUUCGAUCUAUGGAUGCCAUGUUUCCUAACAACACAUUUUAAAUGUGGUGAAAUAGAGUAUCCGAGUUUAAACCCUAACCCCUACAUAUAUUAUGCGAUGUCCUUAUCAAUUAAGCUAUGUUCACCGGAAUAUUUCUUUCUGUUUUCACAUCUCAACCAUCAUAUAACCUCUCUCUCAAAUUCCAAUAUCAAUGUCAUCUCCUCUUUAUAAUUUAAUGGUCUAGAUUCCCACACUAAUUCUUCAACUUCUUUUUUACCAUGUAUCAUUUUUGUCACAUCACUUAUUUUUCAACAUGCAAGACUUUAUUCCAUUUUGCAUAUCCUACACUCCAUGUUUGUAAUUGCAGACGAUCUAAUUUCUCAUAAAUGAUCUCAACCUAGGAUCAUGGAUAUGGUCAAUAUCAUGGAUACCGCUAGAAAAUUCAUUUGUAGACCACAAAUGAAUUUUCUAACGGUAACCACAAAUGGAUUUAUGGUUAUAUAUAUAUAUAUAUAUAUAUAUAUAUGCGCGCACGCUGGGGGCCAUGAGUGAGAUGAGAACUGAGGGAGAAGGAUCCACAUAUGCAAUGGUUGCUAGUGAAAAUCCUUCCUUAUCUUAGUUUCAAAGGAUUUAUUCCAUUGCAUCUAUAUAGAAAAAGAGAAAAACUAAAAAUGUGUAGUUCUGUUAUUGAUCAAACAAAUAGCUAACUAAAACUAUAUUAACUAUACCCUCUAGAUGCAGACAAAUAGAAUGCUCAUAUACAUAUUCCCACCAAUAUUCUUCACUUCAAAUGAAUAUAACUAAAUGUGUCGGGGUCGUUUAGGUUUCAAAUAUCAACAUGUGUCGGACACUAAACACACAUCAAUUUGAAGUGUCAAUGCUACACACUUUAAAACCUUUGACCUAAGCAAGCUUACCAUGUCUAUUUUACAUUAAAACUGUUUUCCAUGCUAGAGUAAAACAUUUACUUAUGAUUUGUAUUUAAUUAGUUAGUUAUUCCUAACAAAACUAUAAAUCUUGUAGAAUAGAGAAGGAUGUUAGUUUAAACCUGUACACACGGCAAAAUGAUUGUUUUGCCUUAAUUUAUCCUUCACAUGAGAAUGGAAUUCAAGAUACUGUGGAAAAAACCUAACUCACCCAACUGCAAUUAUUCAAAGCUAUAAAAUUCAACUAAUAAAGAUUUAAAUACAUGCCAUAUAACUAUCUAAUUCAAUCCAUUUAAUAUUAGCAAUAACCACUAUUUUAUUUUAAGAAUUCUUGCACAAGAUAUGUUCAAUUCCAUCAUCAUAAACUGAUUACUUAUUAGCAUCAUCUCUUAAAUUCAAUGUAAUACUAAAUUGCAUAAAAAAAAGUCACUUAGGUUUGAUUUUGUUUAAGCAAAACCUCCUUAAUCACUUUUUCCAAAUUCAUGUAUGAACAACCACCAGGUCUCGUGUCCUCCUCCGCCUUCGUCUUCAUCUCAAUUAUCUUUUUCCACAUCUUCUUUCCUUUCUCCCCCUCCAUCAAUUCAUUGACCAAAUUCUCUACCUCAUCUCUCUUCACAUUGGUGUCAAUUUCCAUGCCAAUCUCCCAUGUAUUGCAAAUAUAUCUGCAGUUUGCUGGCUGAUCAGCAAAAAAUGGCCAACACAACAUUGGAACUCCAGCAGAUAUGCUUUCAGUGGUUGAGUUCCAUCCACAAUGAGUCAAGAAUCCACCAAUUGAAGGAUGGUUUAAUACUUGCUCUUGCGGGCACCAGCCCGCGAUUAGGCCUCUAUCUGAAAUUUCAUUGACAAACUCCGAUGACAAAACAACUGAGCCACCGAUGACAAGAUCGGGCCUAAUGAUCCACAAAAAGGGUUGCUUGCUAUUUGCUAAACCCCAUGCAAACUCUAACAGUUUUUCUGCCGUCAUAACUGUCAUGCUCCCAAAAUUCACAUAAACAACGGACCUCGGUUCCUUGGAUUCAAGCCAACCAAGACACUUGUUAUCUUCUUUCCAAAGAUUGGUACUUAAACUUGCCAAGUGAUUAUGUGGACUUUGACUUAAAAGUGAAGAUAAAGGGCCGAUACCACAAAUAUUUGGGAACGUCGAGGAGAGAACAUUCAUUACAUCCUUCUCAAGUUCACUAGAAGUAUUAAAAAUAAAAGCAGACGCUUUGUGAGCCCUUCCUGCUGCUUCAACGAUAAAUUCUACCAUCGAAUCAUUUGUAUCUGUAAUCCUUAUAAAGUCAGGCAGAUCCUUCAGUCGAAAGUUCUGCAAUCCUGGAAUACAAUCCACUUUAGUGUCCAAAUAUCCGUUUGUCAGAUAACUCUCAUCUACAUGUCAAAUUUAUAAAAGUUGUUAGCUGGAAAUAAAAUCUCCAUACUCCUAAUACAUGUCAUUUGAUUUUGAACACUUUAACUAUUCUACAUAUAUGAAGAAAGCAAGAAGAUUAAUUGUUACCUUUUAGUGGUAUGAGACCUUUAUCCAACAAUGUACUAAAAUGAAUAAAAGUCAAAAAUGUACAUGCAUUGGAUGGACUAAAGAAAACAGAAGGGAUUGAAAGUUCUUCAGAAGCUUGUAUGGUAAAAGACAUGCCAAUAUCAGAAACUAUGCAAGUAACUGGAGGGACAAGACCAGAUGUUGCAGAGUCAUUUAGUCUAGCAAGAAGUUCGCGGAAAGGUUGUAGGAAGUUCUUUCUGAUUGAUUUACAAAGAGCGUAAAUGUCUUGACUAACAUCGCCAUCACCAUCCGUUGGAGUUAAACCAUCCGGAAUAGUCUCAAAGCUAAAAUCAGUGAAACCAUCAAAGGCAUUUGGACCUCUUGACUUGAGCAACCGUUUGUGGUUGUAUUCAGUGUUUACAUAGGUUAUGUGAAAUCCUCUAAGGUGAAGAAGUUUUGCUAGUUUCAACAAUGGAUUGAUAUGGCCUUGAACUGGAUAUGGAAUUAACACAGCAUGUGGUUUUUUAUCACUCAUUUUUGAGUUUUUGUGUUUGAAUGUUGAGCUAAGGGAAGCCAAUGGUUUAAUAAAGAUAAAGCCAAUGUUUCUUGGAUUUGUGUAAAAGAAGAUAAGAGACAAAAGUCAAGGAAAGCAAACUCAAAUUCUAAGUAAUAUGUAACACAAUAAUUGAUACAUACUUAUCAAGUCACCACUUUUUGUUAUAGAAGGAAAACAAUUUUUCAUUAAAAAGUUUAUUGAACAAACUUAAGCAUGCCUUUUGGUUUGCGGUGGCGAGAAUUGAUUUGAAUGAAUUUGUUUGAUAAAAUUAGUAUCAGGUUAAAAGUGCGUUGAAUAUAAAAUAAUUUGUGUUUAUAUAAAUUUACGUAAAAUUGAUUUGAACUAUAAAUUGAAGACUAAAAAUCGAUUAUAAAAACAAAAUUUUGAUAUCUUAACUUUAAAUUACGAGCAAUUUGGAGACAAAAUCAAUUCUAUUUAAUUUGAGAACACAUAACCAUAGGGUCUGACUAGGCUUAUCUAAGAUCCCUAAUGUAACCAACUUGCAUCUAAUCAUAACUAACUUAUAACUAUCUUGAAAAAUAUCAAACUAAUUUUAACAAAUCUGAAACUAUAUCUAACACAUACUUGCAUGGAAUUGCAACCAUUCAGUAGAAAGAUAUUAUCAAACAAAAUCUUCAUAUGCUUUAGUCAAAAAAAAGGAAAAUCUUCAUAUGCUUGUGGACCAACUGAUCCAUACGUUUCAGUUUCAAAAUUGAACUAGAUGACACUUUUAUUCAAGUAAGUGUAAGAUAGUUCUGACAUCAAAGAUUUUUGUUGUACAAAGAAAAUAAUCAUGACCACUUAUUUAUUUUAUAAUAGUCUAUUGGCUAUUAUUUUCCAUGCUUGAAUCAGUCAGACAUUGGACAUCACAAAAAAAAAUUGUCCUUUUCAACAAAGGCUCAAGAUUAUCUCCAAAGUCACAAUUGCAUAAAAGCCAAAUUUACUUUUAUUGUGCAGAGAAAAGUGGAUGUAUAUUAUCAACACUGCCUUCCAUAAGGGCUUCGUGUCCUCUAAUUUUUUUUUUUACUAGUCUUUGUUAUGUCCUUUAUCAUGUCUAUGAGGUAUCAACUCAAUGGUAAGAGUUUGAGCUUUUAACCUCAAGGGAAAAAGUACAAUUCCCCUUAAUAACAGUGGUAAAAAUGCUCAUUGUUGUAACUUUAAUUAAUAAACCCUUAUAUUGACUAAUAGGAAUGUUAAAAUAUUUCUUGAAAUCUCAUGUUGAAAGUUUGUUCUUCUUUUCGGUUUGAUUAGUGUUCCCAUGCACUAGGCGCAGUUGUUUGUUGUUUUCAGCUUGUUGUAAUUUGUAGCUUGCGCAAGGCGAAGGAUAUAGCUGACUGAGGCGCAGGUGUGCAUCAAGAUCUAUAGAUAAGCAGGUUUUGCAUCAGUUUUCAGGGUAAAAAAGUGGGAAUUCUAAGGUAACAAAAGAGGGAAUUUGUAGGGUUAAAAGUUCACAUAUAUAGAUAAGAAUUUGUAGGGGACAUUGAUGAUUUCACACAAUUUGCAUUUGCAUCAUCGGUGAAUGUUUUUGAAUGUUCAUAGAGGAAAGAAACUUUGAAUUCAAAUGCUUUCAAAUCAAUCUAUGCAACAAGAAGCUGACAAAGUAGUGCAGAGAAAUUUUAUAAACGAGCUAAAGAAGAAUAUAAAUUUAAUAUUAUUAUGAUUUUGAAGUAUUGUCUUACUUCGAAGUAUGAACAGCAAUGUACCAUACUUAAGAACAUAGCAAGACCUAAAAUACAAAUGAUUUGUUCCUAACAAAACUAUAUAUAUUGUAUAAAAGUAACUUAUGUUUGAUUUUGUUUAAGCAACACCUCCUUAAUCACUUUCUCCAAGUUCAUGUAUGAACAACCUCCAGGUCUCGUGUACACCUCCGCCUUUUUCUUCAGCUCCAUGGCCUUUUGCCUCAUCUUCUUUCCUUUAUCUCAGGACAUCAAUUCAUUGACCAGUUUCUCCACGUCCUCCCUCUUUACAUUUGUAUCAAUUUCGUUUCCAAUCUUCCAUUCAUUGCAAAUAUAUCUUCAGUUUGCUGGCUGAUCUGCAAAAAAUGGCCAACACAACAUUGGAACUCCAGCACAUAUGCUUUCAGUGGUUGAGUUCCAUCCGCAAUGAGUCAAGAAUCCACCGACUGAUGGGUGGUUCAAUACUUUCUCUUGUGGACACCAACUUGCUAUUAGUCCUCUAUCUGAAAUUUCUUUCAAAAAUCAGAUGAGAAAACCACCGAGCCACCAAUGACAAGAUCAGGCCUAAUGAUCCAUAAAAAUGGUUUCUUGCUGUUGGCCAAACCCCAAGCAAACUCUAAGGCUUCUCUUGAGACUUAACAGUGAUGCUGCCAAAAUUUACAUAAACAACAGAUCCUGGUUCUUUUGAUUCAAGCCAUUCAAGACAUUUAGUAUCUUCUUUCCAAAGAUUACAGUCUAAAGAUGUCAAGUGAUUUUGUGGACUUUGAUUUACAAAAGAAGCUAAUGGACCAAUUGUGUAUAGAGAAGGGAACAUAGAAUAGAAAGCAUUCAUAACAUCACUCUCAAGUUCAUUAGAAGUAUUGAAUACCAUACCAGAAGCUCUAAGACAUUUAUCUGCCACUUCAGUGUUAAAUCUUAUCGUCAAGUCAUUAGGAUUUUUUGUCUUUAUUAACCUAGGAAGAUCCUUCAAUCUGAAGUUUUUCAAACCUGGGAUCCAGUCAACUUUCGUGUCCAGAUAUUCAUUUGUUAGAUCACUCUCAUCUGCAUGUCAUAAUUGCAAAAAUCAAUAGCUUAAAGUCAUAUGUAUAAAUAUAUAUCAUGGUUUAAAAUCACAUUAACAAUAAUAAUUUUGCCUGUGCUAUCAUAUUGAUAUUGCAUAUAAUCCCAAUCAAAUCUGGCUGAUGAAACCUCAAUUGUGAUUAUAGAGACAUCGCAACCUUGAUGUUCGGCCCAUAUUGUGACCGCAAAGCUUUUUUAAAAACCAUAACAUACACACAAAAACACACACAGAUCUCCUAAAAAGAAAAAGGGAACAGAAAUGAUUACCUUUGAAUGGUAGUUGACUAUUCUGAUACAUUUUAGGACUGAGCAAACAAGCCAAGAAAUAACAUGCUCUACUUGGGGAAAAAAGAACAACUGGGAGUGCAUGUUCUUCAGCAGCAGCUACUGUAAAUGGCAUGUAGCAAUCAGAAACUAAGCAAGUGACUGGGGGGAUAAGACCAGCAGUGGCAGAGUCUUGAAGUUUAGCAAGAAGUUCAUCAAAGAAGUGGUGAAAGUUCGUUAUGAUUGAUUCACCAAGAGAGUGUAGGUCUUGACUAAUAUCACCAUCACCAUCCUUUGGAGUUAAACCAUCUGGUAUAGUCUCAAAGUUAAAGUCAGUGAAACCAUCAAAGGCAUUUUCACCUCUUGAUUUAGCAAACGUUUGUGAUUGUAUUCAGUGUUAACAAAGGUUUAUGUGAAAGCCUCUUAGGUGAAGCAGUUUUGCUAUUUUCAACAAUGCAUUGAUAUGACCUUGAACUGGAAAUGGAGUUAAUUAACACUGCAUGUGGCCUUUUCUCUUCAAAGUUGGUCAUGUUUGAUAUUUUUCUUAUGUAAGAAAACAGAGAAAAAACUGAGGUGAAAAAUCUAUGAGGCCUCUAUAACAAUGAGUAAGUUUUGUUACAUAUCUAUUAUCUAUUAUAUAGUAUAAAAAAAUUCUUAAGAAUAGAAAAACCAUUUUUUUUUAAUAAUUCAAUUACUGUCUAAUUCAUGUUUAUCUAAUUUUUAGUAUUUUAAUAAUUGAGAAGAUAAUAAUAUUUUUUUUAAUGUUGACGUUCCGAUUUUUAGAGAAAAUGGGUUCUGAUAAUUUGGAGUUCGGUCGUGAGGUAAACAUCACCUUACCAAGAAUUGAGAAGAGAAUAAAAUAAAAUAUAAUAACAUGAAUCUAACUGAAAAAUGAGGAGAUUGAAACUCCGAAAGCAACGUCUGCAUGUUGAAAGGAGACCACUUUCUAUACACACACAAUGGUGUUCAGACGGGUACAGACUUGCCAAUCUAUUUAUUAUGACCAACUAAACAAACAUACGAUUUUUAAACGUUAUCUAUGCGGACAGACUCUGGACCAUUGUUCAAGUCACAUGACUUUUAAACGUUAUCAAUUUGGUGCGCUUUUAAUCGAUUUUGAGGCUAAAAGACAUCCCAAUCGUAAGAUAAAAGAGUAUUUAGUUUGGUUUGGUUCAGUUGAUUUUUAAAAUAAAAUUUAAACCAAACCAAACCAAUAUGAUUUGAGUUGUAUUGGUUGAUGCGGUUUUUUUGAGACAAUACAAUUUUUUGUUUCCAACAUUAAAAUCGAGUUAAAAAGCUAUAACACAACAUAUUUUCAAUAAUGUUUGAAACAAUGUUUUCAAUUUCAUCCAACAUUACAAUUUUAUUUUCACAAAACAAAAUAGACGAAAUUUAAAAUGUGGACAAAAAGUAAUCCUAUUAUUUAAUAAAUGUAAAAGAUUAAGAUUUAUUAUUCUUAAAAUUUUAUUUUAUAAUUUUUUUAAUUUUUGAAAUAGAAAGCAAAGAAGAAACUUAACGUACAAGGGAAAAAAAUAUGCCGUUUUAUAAAAGUUUUUAUUGAGUUUCUAUGAGUAUUGGUGUAGGUGACAUAGGUUUAAUUUGGUUAGGUGACAUAGUUUCUAUGAGUAUGUCGUUUUACAAAAUAGUUUUUUUGCAUUUUUUGGUAUAUAAGAAGAAACAUAAACUAGUAUACAUAUGAUUUUUUGACAAAAUGGAUCCUUCACAUGAUAAUGGAAUUCAAGAUACUGUGAAAGAAUUCUUAUUCACCCAACUUAACAUAUUUAAACUUGUAGGAUUUAUAUUAUAAAGUUAAUAUACAUGCCAUAUAAUUAUCCAAUAUGCAUAUAUUCAAAACACUUAAAAUUAGCAAGAAUCACUAUUUAAGUUCAGGAACUCUUGCUGAAGAUGACUUCACUUACAUCAGAACUUAAAUUCAAUAGGGGAAGAUCAAUUAAUUAUCGUUGAACUGAAUUGCAUAAAAAAGUUACUUAAAUUGAUUUUGUUUAAGCAAAACCUCCUUGAUCACUUUGUCCAAGUUCAUGUAUGAACAACCUCCAGCUCUCGUGUUUUCCUCCACUUUCUUCUUCAACUCAAUUGCCUUUUGCCGCAUCUUCUUUCCUUUCUCUCCUGACAUCAAUUCAUUGACAAGUUUCUCCACCUCUUCUCUCUUUACAUUCGUAUCGAUUUCCAUCCCAAUCUCCCAUUCAUUGUAAAUAAGUCUACAGUUUGUUGGCUGAUCACCAAAGAAUGGCCAACACAACAUUGGAACUCCAGCACAUAUGCUUUCAGUGGUUGAGUUCCAUCCGCAAUGAGUCAAGAAUCCGCCAAUUGAAGGGUGGUUCAAUACUUUCUCCUGUGGACACCAACUUGCAAUUAAGCCUCUAUCUGAAAUUUCAUUCACAAACUCAGAUGACAAAACGACUGAGCCACCAAUGACAAGGUCAGGCCUAAUGAUCCACAAAAAGGGUUUAUUGCAAUUGGCCAACCCCCAAGCAAAUUCCAACAGUUGUUUUGGUGUCAUAACUGUAAUGCUUCCAAAAUUCACAUAAACAACGGAUCCCGGCUCCUUGGAUUCAAGCCAUUCAAGACACUUAGUAUCUUCUUUCCAAAGGUUGGAACCUAAAGAAUCCAAUUGAUGAAUUUGUGGAGUUUGGUUUAAUAAUGAAGGUAAAGGGCCAAUGGGGUAAAGAGAAGGAAACAUAGAGGAGAGAGCAUUUAUUACAUCACUCUAAAGUUCAUGGAAAGUAUUCAAAACAAUUGUAGAGUCUCCAAGAACUUUAUCAGCCGCAUCAAUUACAAAGUCUAACAUAAUAUCAUUUGGAUCUGUUGUCCUGAUACUGUCAAAGAUAUCCUUUAACCGAAAGUUUUUCAAACCUGGAAUCCAAUCUACAUUAGUUUCCAAAUAUCCAUUUGUUAGAUAGCUCUGAUCUGCAUAUCAAAUGUAUCAGUUAAUAUCUUGAAGGUUAUACAUACAUCCGUACAUACAUGAGUAUUUUGUUUUCGACAAAAACAUACAUAUAUAAUAAGGUAUUAUAAAUUGAAUAAAAGUCAUUUAUUGAUGUAUAAAUUUUAAUUUUGAAGUUUUAUGAAAUUUGUGGAGUUCCUCUAUUCAAUAAGAGUUUUUAAUUUGAUGGUUGCUUUAUUGAAAUUUAGUGUCUACAUUGAGUUUUAUAUUAACUGAAACUAUAUCAAGUGUUACUCUUGGAGUAAGUUGAUUAUCUCGCACACGACCAUUUAUAUAGAUUUAAUUCAUAUAUAGAGUCAAAGUAAAAGUUUUUUACACCGUCAAUAAAUCAUAAGUGUCAGAAUAGUGUAGCAAAAUUAAUAUUAAUCUCUCUAUAAAUAUAUACUUUAUGAAGAAAAAAACUUAACUUAGUACCUUUGAGUGGCGUGAGACCUUUUUCUACAAAGGAACGUAAGUGGUGAAUACUCAGUAACAAACUUGCACUGGAUGGAAAGAAGAUAACAAUUGGUAGUGCAAAUUCUUCAGCAGCUUGUAUAGUAAAGCUCAUAAAAUAAUCAGAAACUAAGCAAGUAACUGGUGGAACAUUGGCAGAGUCAUUAAGUCUUGUAAGAAGUUCACAAAAAGGUUUAAGGAAAUUUUUUCUUAUAGAUUGAGCAAGAGAAGGUACAUCUUGACUAACAUCACCAUCACCUUCUAUCGGUGUUAGACCAUCUGGUAUGGUUUCAAAGCAAAAACCACGGGAACCAUCUAAGGCAUUUGGACCUCUUGAUUUUAGCAAUCGUUUAUGAUUGUAUUCAGUGUUGACAAAGGUUAUAUGAAAUCCUCUAAGGUGAAGAAGUUUUGCAAGUUUGAACAAUGGAUUUAUAUGUCCUUGAAAUGGAGCUGGAAUCAACACAGCAUGUGGUUUUCUGUUUGCAAAACUUCCCAUCUUUGAAAUUUUUCUGUUUGUAUGUUAUUUGUGCAAGAUAUGAGGUUGAAAAACAAGUGAUAGGCAUGUGCUUUUAUAGAGAGAAAAAAGGACAAUGCUACAAAAUUGAAAAAUAUAAAGAAAUCCAAACAGAUAAAUUCUGGGAGGUUCUAACAAAAGGAAAUAAGUUCAUUGUAUGAAAAGACAGACACAUAAAAAGACACCAAAAAUGACACUGACACGUUAACGUCAAUGAUAAUUUGAGAAAUAAAUUAAUUCAAUGUAAUUACAAUGUGUCUGACAUAAAAUUGAAAUCUUAUACAGGUAUGUUCUUGUAAACUUUCCUAUAUGACUCAUUAUAUUGAUUGAAUAUGUUUGUUGGUAUUUGGUUUAACCAAUCAAUGUGGCAUUAACAAUUCAACUGUUACUUGUUACUUAGAUGUCGUUUGAGAUUUAUUUGGGAAUUGAUAAAAUAGAAAAGUUGAGAAAAACUUUAUAUUGUGAUCCUAAAAUCACUAAUAUAACCAAAUUGAAUCUAACCAUAUCUAACUAUCUUCCAAAAUAUUAAACUAAUUUUAACAAAUCUGAAACUACAUCUAACACAUACUUGCAUGGAAUUGCAACCAUUCAGUAGAAAGAUAUUAUCAAACAAAAUCUUCAUAUGCUUGUGGACCAACUCUAUACGUUUCAGUUUCAAAAUUGAACUAGAAGGCACUUCUAUUCAAGUAAGUAUAAGAUAGUUCUGACAUCAAAGAUUUUUGUUGUACAAAGAAAAUAAUUAUGUCCACUUAUUUAUUUUAUAAUAGUCUAUUGGCUAUUAUUUUCCAUGCUUGAAUCAGUCAGACAUUAGACAUCACAAAAAAAAUAUUAGUCCCUUUCAACAAGGGCUCAUGAUUAUCUCCAAAAGUUACAAUUGCAUAAAAGUCAAAUUCACUUUUAUUGUGCAGAAUAGUGACUAGUGGAUAUGUUGUCUUCAUUAUCAAUGGUACCUUCCAUAAGGGCUUUGUGUCCUCUAAUUUUUUUACUAGUCUUUAUUUAUGCAUGUAUUAUAAUCCUUUAUCAUGUCUAUGAGAUAUGGGCUCAAUGGUAAAAAUUUCAGCCAGUAAUCUCAAAGGACAAAGUUCAAACUCCCUUGAUAACAGUGGUAAAAUGGUCAUUGUUGUAACUUUAAUUAAUAAUUCUUAUUUUCACUAAUAAGAAUGUUAAAAUAUGUCUUGAAAUCUCAUGUUAAAAGUUUUUUUUCUUUUCGGUUUGAUUAUUGUCCCCAUGCGCUGGGCGAAGCUGUUUGCUGUUUUCAUCAUGUUGCUAUUUUGUUGCUUGGAUGAGGCGAUAUAGCUAAAUGAGUCAUAGGUGUGCGUCAAGAUCUAUAGAUAAGCAAUUUUUGCAUCAGUUUUCAGGGUGAAAAUGUGUGAAUUUUAGGGUUACAAAAGAGGGAAUUUUUAGGGUUAAAAGUUGAGAGCUUUUGGAAAAAUUAUAGGAUUAGGAAACAUUUUUGUACAUCUUGGAAAUAAAGCAUCGAGUCUUUUGUCCAUCGGAAGAGAAUUGGGAAAAUUGUAACCCUUGUAUUUCUUUGUAAGAAACUCUUUGUUAGUGGUAAGCCAGAUUUGGGUCGAACUGGAUAACUUUGUUUUGGUUGUUGCUAAUAUUUCUCCACACUUCAAAGUAUUGAUGUGAGUUUUUACAAAUUCACAACAACUGGAACCCACCGUGGGAGAAAUAAGAGGUAACUUUUUCAAGUGUGCAACAUGGGUACCAACUGGGAUAUCAAUAAAUUUAUCGGAGACAACGAUUUGGGGCUGUGAAAAGUGAAGAUGAAAGAUGUGUUGAUUCAACAAAAGUUUGCAGAAGCACUGAAGGAUGAGGUUGCUCUCCCAGCUACCAUGUUACAAGCAAACAAGACCGAGAUGGUGGACAAGGCCAUGAGUGUCAUUGUCUUGUGCCACACUGAUAAAGGUUUUAGAGAAAUCGUAAAGGAGCAAUUGACGAGUCCUACAAAAUCCUUGAUGAUUUGACAACUAUUAAAGUGGAUAUUGAGGAUGAAGACACGGAUAUACUCUUAUUAUUAUGAGCAUUAGCUAGAUCCUUUGAGAACUUCAAGGAUACUAUGCUUUAUGGUAAAGAAGUCAUUGUCACUUCGAGGAAGUCCAAGAGGCACAUAACCAAGUCCAAGAACUUGAAAGUUGAUGAUAGUGGUGAAGACAUGAGUGUCUAAAGAGGAAGACGUAUAAGUUGAUGAAAUCGAGGAAGCUCAAUUGAUGGUGCAAGUUGAAGUACAAAUACUCCAAGUGUCAAACGACCGGUCACUUCAAUAAGGACAUUCCCAAGUUAGAGGACAUUAAUGAUUCCGCACAAUUUGCAUUUGCAACAUCAGUGAAUGUUUUUGAAUGUUCACGGAAAGAACCUUUAAUUUCAAAUCAAUCUAUGCAACAAGAAGCUGAUAGUGUAGUGCAGAGAAGUAUGCUUUUGAAGUAUGAUUUCCAAGACAUCCUUAAUCACUUUGUCCAAGUUCAUGUAUGAAGAAUCACCAGGUCUUGUGUCCUUCUCUGCCUUCUUCUUCUUCAACUCCACGGCCUUUUGCCUCAUCUUUUUUCCUUUCUGUCCCACCAUUAAUUCAUUCAUCAGCUUCUCCACCUCCUCUCUCUUCACAUUUGUAUCAAUUUCGAUUCCGAUCUCCAACUUAUUACAAAUAUAUCUGCAGUAUGUUGGCUGCUCAGAAAAAAAAGGCCAACAUAACAUUGGUACUCUGGCACAAAUGCUUUCCAAUGUGGAGUUCCAUCCACAAUGAGUCAAGAAUCGUCCAACUGAAGGGUGGUUCAACACUUGCUCUUGCGGACACCAGCUUGCUAUUUGGCCUCUAUCCGAAGUUCCAUUCACAAACUCGGAUGACAAAAUAACUGAGCCACCAAUGACAAGCUAAGGCCUAAUGAUCCACAAAAAAGGUUUCUUGCUGUUGGCAAAACCUCAAGAGAACUCUAACUGCUCUGGAGUCAUAACCAUAGUGCUUCCAAAAUUCACAUAAACUACAGAACCUUGUUCCUUAGAUUCAAGACAUUUCAUAUCUUCUUUCCAAAGAUUGGAACCUAAAGAAGCCAAGUGCUUUUGGGGAUUUUGAUUCAAAAACGAAGAUAAAGGGCCAAUGGCGUAAAUAGAAGGGAUCUUAAUAGAUAGAGCCUUUACUACAUCACUCUCAAGUUCAUUAUAAGUAUUGAAAACAAUAGCGUUAGCUUCAUGAACCAUAUCGUCCGCUUCAAUGAUAAAAUUUAUCAUUAGGAUCAGUAGUUCUUAUAAAAUCAAGCAGGUCCUUUAGUCUAAUGUUUCGCAAACCUGGAAUCCAGUCAACUUUAGUGACCAAAUAUCCAUUUGUCAGAUAACUCAUCUGCAUAUUAUAAUCACAAAAUCCAUUAGCUUAAAGUUAAAACUCUGAACCCCUAAUAUAUAUCAUAUUAAUUCUAAUACUACAUUCUAUGUUGUAUACAUACUCUCAGUUUCUCCAAAGGAAGAACUUCCAUAGUAAAACUAAACUAUAGUAAUGAAACUCUUCACUUCUGCAUAAUAGUCCUACACUAUCGAUAAAGAAAGAACAUAAAUGAUUACCUUUGAGGGGUAUGACACCUUUAUCAAUAAAUGUACGAAAGAGCAAAGCACACAAAAGUGAGGAUGCACUAGCAGGAAUAAUUCAAUAUCAGAAACUAAGCAACUAACAGGAGGAAUAAGAUCAUCAUUGGAAGAAUCUUUUAAGUUUAGCAAGAAGUUCACAAAAAGGGUGAUAGAAAUUCUUUCUUAUUGAAUCAUCAAGAGAGACAAUUUCUUGACUAAUAUCACCAUAACCUUCUGUCGGAGUUAAACCAUCUGGAAUAGUCUCAAAGGUAAAAUCAGUGAAACCAUCAAAGGCUUUUGGACCUCUUGAUUUGAGCAAAUGUUUGUGAUUUCGGUGUUGACAAAGGUUAUGUGAAAGCCUCUAAGGUGAAGAAGUUUUGCUAGUUUCAAUAAUGGAUUGAUAUGGCCUUGAAGUGGAUAUGGAGUUAUGCUUACUGAUAUGAGUGAGAAGCAUAAGAAAAUCAUAAAUAUAUUUGACUUUAAUAGGUCCCCCAAAUCAUUGGAAUAUAAAAGUUAGGUGCACAAUUUUUCAUCAAGAAUUUGUUUGCAGCACGCAUUGGAAGUUUGUUUAUUUUUAUUCUCAUUAAGAAUUUGUUGGCACUGCACAUGCAUAUACAAUUGUUUCUUGGUUGAAAAAUAAUAUAUUUUUCAUGGUUUAUACUAUUUCAAUUCUUUUCUUGUUGAUAGUUGAAAUGGCAAGAAUCGUUGAAAACUCGCACACAUAAGUGGAGAAGUUUGGAUUCGAAACCCCAGUUACGGAGUUGGCCUAACAAUUUUGUUCUUUAUUGUCUAUUAAGCUAGAACUUGUCGACAUUUAUUUCCUGUUUUUUAUCAGACCAUACAUGUGAAUUUGAAUUGCAUGCAAGCACAAUUUCCACGCGAUCAGAAUUAAUUCAAUCAACAGCUCGGAGUCAUUUCAUCAAAUAUUCGACGUCUCUUAUUGUAGGAUAUGUGAAUCCAUUUUAAAAGCAAACUUAAAAUUGGAGUCGUCCAAUGUUAAUCUAAUAUCUCCGAGCUGCGCUGGCUGAACAAGUGCCUAAAAUUGUGAUUGUAGACAAAGGUUGCUAGUAAAAAUACUUCCUUAUCUUAGUUUUAAACGAUUCAUUAUAUUGCAUCUAAAUAGAAAAUAGAGAAAAACAUAAAAUUUAUAGUUCUGUUAUUGAUGAAAUGAUUUCCUAAAAGAAAAAAGCUUUGAAACUAUAACCUCUACGUACCGAGAAAUAGAAUGCUCAUAUACAUAUUCCCACCAAUAUUUUUCACUUCAAAUGAAUGUAACUAAAUGUAUCGGGGUCGUUUAGGUGUCAAAUAUCAACAUGUGAAGUGUCAAUGCUACACACUUUAAAACCUUCAACCUAAGUAAGCUUACCAUGUCUAUUUUAUUUUAAAACUGAUUUCUAUUUUAGAGUAAAAUAUUUACUUAUGACUUGUAUUUAAUUAGUUAAUCCUGAUAAAACUAUAAAUCUUGUAUAGAACGAUAGAACGAUAUUAAUUUAAACCUGUACACACAGAAAAAUGAUUGGUUUGCCUUAAUUUAUCCUAUACAUGAUAAUGGAAUUCAACAUAGUGUGCAAAAGCCUUACCUACCCCAUAUAAUUAUCCAAUUCAAUACAUUUAAUAUUAGCAAGAAGCACUAUUUUAGUUUAAGAAUUCUUGCACAAGAUAUGUUCGAUACAGUCAUCAUGAACUCAUUACUUAUUCACUACAAUAGCCUCAUCCCUUAAAUUCAAUAGCAGAAGAUCAAUGGAUCAAUAUAAUACUACAUUGCAUUAAAAACGUCACUUAGGUGUGAUUUUAUUUAAGCAAAACCUCCUUAAUCACUUUUUCCAAGUUCAUGUAUGAACAACCACCAGGUCUCGUGUCCUCCUCCGCCUUCUUCUUCAUCUCCAUUAUAUUUUUCCUCAUCUUCUUUCCUUUAUCUCCCACCAUCAAUUCAUUGACCAAAUUCUCCACCUCAUUUCUCUUCACAUUAGUAUCGAUUUCGAUUCCAAUCUCCCAUGUAUUGCAGAUAUAUCUACAGUUUGCUGGCUGAUCAGCAAAAAAUGGCUAACACAACAUUGGAACUCCAGUAGAUAUGCUUUCGGUCGUUGAGUUCCAUCCACAGUGAGUCAAGAAACCACCAAUUGAAGGAUGGUUCAAUACUUUCUCUUGCGAGCACCAACCAGCAAUUAGGCCUCUAUCUGAAAUUUCAUUCACA